AAAAAAAUGAAAAAGUCAACCGAGUGAAAGAGAUAAAAGAUGUGAUAUCAGAAUGUACUACUGUUUGCUAAAGCUGAGGUGAAAGAACCAUCGCUUUAGAAACACCCCCCCCCCCCCCCCCACCACACCACUCCCUCCUCCUCCUCCCAUGGCGAUCUCCGGGGAGGACAGGUACGCGGCGGCCGGCGGUGGCGGCGACUCCGGCGGGGGGAAGCUCUGGAACCUCUGCCGCAUGCCCUUCUGGCAGCCCGGCGGCGCGCCGGCGACGGCGUCGGCGCCGCCGCCGCCGUCGUCGUCCUCGUCGUCGGCCGGGAUCCACCACCACUCCGCCGGGCGGUACGGCCACGAGGGCGGUGGUGGUGGUGCCGUGGCAGGGGACGGCGCGCCGGCCGGGUCGAUCUCGUCGGUGGCCAAGUCGCUGCUGCCGGCCCGCCGCCGCCUCCGGCUCGAUCCGCCCAACAAGCUCUACUUCCCAUGUGAGUGCGCGCGGGGAAUUCGGGGCUUGGGUUCGAGUGCUUCUUGGUUUAAUUGUGGGAUGCGGUCGUGAGGAGAGUGGGGAGCCGCGAUCUUUGCCUGGGUUUGUUAAUCUUGGCUUGUUAUGCUCGAUCUCCGCUGUUUAGGAGUGGGAAUUUAUGUGUGUGUGUGUGGGAGGAAGUCGCGAUCUUACGGAGUGAUUAAUGGGGGUUACUUAAAUUUAGUAGAAAAUGUACUCAUUAGGGCUCCGUUUCGGUUGGCUAGAGGAAACAGUAGCCAUUAUCGGCUCCGUUUCCCAUCUGGGUUUCUUGAUCUUAUCUCAGGAGGUACAAUACCCUCGAUCUCGGAGUUGGAUCUAGACCUGUGUGAAAUUCCUUGAGUAGAAUCUCUGACUGAAAUGUGCCGGAGCUGAGAUCUUGGGUAGAGAUACCAUGAUGCUUGUGCAGUUGAGGUAGAAUUCUGAUAGGCUAGUUUGUGUGCAAUUUUACUGCACUAGCCUAUAUGGGUGAAAGACUGUAAGCAGCGGCUGUAUGUCAGGUAUGGCGAUUGUUUUCUGUUAUGUGAUACUUAGUAGGUUAAACUCCUAUGCAUGAGAUCAGGGUCAGCUUCAUGCACCAUUUUGCUUUGGUUGACUGUUCAGGGUUCAAUUCUCAAGUCUUUAGUGAACUAAUGAUCAAACUGAGAAACAAGCAUGCUUACUUUCUCCGAAAGAAACAAAAUAUACUUACUGUACCAAUUUGCUACUAUUUCCUGAGAGCAUUGCAAGCUACAAUAUUUGUUUGUUCUAUUUGGUACUGUGGUGUUGUCAUUCCGUGAUUUGCUACUAUGUGUGUAAGGCUGUUAUGGAAAACUACGAUAUCUUUGCAAAUCUGUCAUUUUAAGAAGGUGGUUAAUAAAUUUGCAAACAUCCAAAGAUGGUCGUUUAGCCAAAAGUUCCUCUUUGUUUUGUUUGCAUAUGUGUUAGGGGUGGGGGAUGGGGUCUAAAUGCUUUCUUUGGUGUUUUUGUGUUUUUACUGUUACCAGAUCAGAAAGACAGAUAAUGAAUAGCCAAAGGAGUGGGUAGGUUUGACCCUGGAUAUUGUCGAUUUGCUAUAUGUGUGCUCUGUGGUGAGGUGCAGGGAGUUUGACGAACCUUAUGUUAUUAUGUGUGAUAACACCUACCCGUUAAAUAGAGAGUUCCCUAUUACCAUGAGCAGCAGCAGGAGAGAUAAAAAAGAAAAAGAAGGGGACUUCAGUUUUGCUUAUUAAUUGCUUUCCUUAUUGUUUGUCCUGCUAAUAGAAGUUUGCUACUUUCCUUGUAGAUCAACCAGGACAACAGGUGAGGAGCGCAAUCAGGAUAAAGAACACAAGCAAGUCUCAUGUAGCAUUUAAGGUUUGUAUGAUUGCAUUUGUAAUGCUUCCCACAGUUUUAACUCUACAGCAGUUGGGUUGAAAUCUGCAGCUUGAUUUCAGCAGUGUUUAAUGCUAGCUACUAUAUUGGUAAUGAAAGCACCUGACUGUUAACUGAUAUUUUAUCUUUAGUUCCAAACAACUGCACCCAAGAGCUGCUUCAUGCGUCCUCCUGGAGCCAUACUUGCCCCUGGGGAGACCAUCAUAGCAACUGGUAAUACAUCUGAUCACCUUCUUUACAUGAACAAUAGUAAGGCUUCCUGAUUUGCUUUAUGUUUGGUGCUUAUUUCUGUUUCCAUUUGAUUGACAGUUUUCAAGUUUGUCGAGCACCCAGAGAACAAUGAGAAUGUUCUACAGAAGUGCAAGGUUAAAUUCAAGAUUUUGAGCUUGAAGGUCAAAGGACCCAUGGAUUACGCACCAGAAAUGGUCAGUUAUUGUUUUUCUUAUAAACUUUUACUUUGGUCCAUUCUAUCUAGUAAGUCAUGCAGAAAGCAUUUUUCUAAUUGGCAGCAUUGAUCCAAAGAUAUAAAUACUUUUAAGAGGAUGAAAUUAGACUUACCGCAAAAUCUUGCAUAUGUUAUCUAUUUUCAGUGAUGUUAUAUUCCCAUUUAGCGGUGUUUGAUCCACAGGUAGCAAAACUAGAGAAAUAGGAGAGACCUUGGAGGUGAGGUGUGAGGACUGGGACUGACAGGACUGUAGCCGCAGGUGAUGGCCUGCGUGUAGGUGGGGAAGUCACUUGGUGGAUCUCAAGUUCUCAACAGUGUCCAGAUUACACCUGGGGUAGAAUGACCAAGCUAGCCACUUAGCCUGCUUAAUUGGGUAAUAAGUUCGGUAAUUAUGGACUCUUUAAUGUGCUAAGGAUUGUUGUUAAGAUUGUGAUCAAGGUGUAUUAAUUCAGAUUACGUCGUAUUAGAAGUGGGCACAACCCAUGCUCCCUGAUGCCUCUGUGGUGGCACUGAGGCAGAACAAAACAAAUUGACCAAUAGGUUGUGACUUCAUGAUUAGUGAAUUUAACAUCCAAGCUAACCUUAAGGGAUCAUUGAACUAGAAGUGGAAUUCCAGGUCAAAUUUAAUAGCUCUUGUGAGGACCUUUUGUAUAUAUUACAACAGAAAAAAUGCAAAGAUGUCAGAAACUUCCCUAAAUAAAAUUCGUUAUUGAGUACAUCUCUUUAAAGCAAGCUAUAAGAUAAAGUCACAAAGAAGUAAUAAGCCAUAGAAAGCAACAAUCAUAAAUAAAAAAUGUCAUGCCAAAGCAGAACAAAAUUGCCUUCUCAUGUGAUGAAGCCUCUUGUACGGACACAUGAACCAGGUUCAAGCCUACUACCUAUAAAUCCCAUGCGGAGAAGGAUGCCAGGAUGUUAACUGGAAUACUGGAUUCCUUCACUAUAAUUGUGUAAUUGUGCUGUCCAACUCUAACAUUAAAUCCUUAGUCUCUAUUGUUUUGCAAUGUUUCACAUGUCAUAUUUAUGCUAUAACAUAUGAAGGAUGGUCCGGGAGAUUCAGUAGAGUUGGUAUACGUUUUUUUCCCCUAAAGCAACGAGUUAGGGUGCCCAUCUUUACUGCAACUAUGCAUGGUCGUAUGUACUACUUUCAAUUUUUAGUGCAUUUAUCCUGAUCUGCAUCCCGUGGCUUUGGUUUGGAUCUUGGAUGGACACAGUUUUUAUGCUAGCAGUCCUUGUCCAAGGUAUGGUUUGAAUGUGAUGCAUAUGCCAUAUGGUUGAGGAAACCCACUGAACUUUUAUGUUUCACCACUCCAUUUGUUUUUAGCAUAUUAGUAUACCUUCCUUCCUGAUAUCAGUCAUCUAUUUAUAUUUGAUGUACCAAAGCAUGACUUAUUUUGUUUAUUGCAGUUUGAUGAGCAGAGAGAUCAAGCCGUAGUUGAGAAGAUCCUGAGGGUUGUUUUUUUGAAUGUUGAAAAUCCAGGCCCAGUAAGCAAAUAGAAAACUAUUUAUAUAUGCACGCAUAACUUUUUCAGCGGAAUAGAAAGUUCAAUAAUAUCUCAUUCAUGAUCUUAUUUUCUUUCAAAGCAACUGGAAAAGCUAAAUAAUCAGUUGGCUGAGGCUGAGGCUGCACUUGAGGCAAGAAAGAAACCUCCUGAAGAGAAUGGCCCAAAGAUUGUUGGCGAAGGGCUUGUCAUCGAUGAAUGGGUAUGUCUCUUCAAGUCAUGUGGCUCUGGCUCUUUCGAUGAUUUGUUCGUUUUCUCGUUGCUGAAAAAUCCUUCAUGUGUUAAUCACAGAAAGAACGAAGGGAAAGAUAUCUUGCACAACAACAGGUUGAAGUGGUUGACUCAGUGUAAAUUGUGCCUUUCUUCUGCUUCUACCGAAGCUAUGCCUAUAAUAUGGCUUCAGAAAUGUGCUGUGGCAUUCUUGUAAACUGCUAGAUUUUGUGGUUGGUAGUCUAGUGUGUGGUAGUCUAGUGUGUGCUUGCAGAAUCAGUCGCCAAAGAACAAUCUAACUCCCGUAUUUUCAGUGCUUGAUGUGUAACUAAUAGCACAUAUGUUCUAUUUUUUGUGUUAGUGCUAAAAUCUGCUUGUCAAAACAAUAAAGUUCACAAGCACACCUUCCUCUGUAUUGUUGGGGAAGGCACAUUCUAUCAUCAGCUUCUACCUGUUUUGUAUUGGUUUGUCAGUGAUCUGUGUUCAUUUUAUAGUGCCUUUCCAUGCCCCCAUGUAAUUUAGUCAAUAGCUAAAAAUAAUUAGCUAUUCAUCUUAUAUAGUCUUAUUACCAUUGUGACAAGUUUUGCAAUUCUGCUUUUGGGCAACUGAAUCCAGCUUUCGGGGCCUUUUCUUGACCUCAAAUGCCAUGCCUUUAGGAUGCAUCUCCCUUAAUGUCAAGUUUUUUUUUUCCGAUCCUGUUUUAUUUUAAGGUUUACAAAUUUCGCAAACAUUGGAUGAACUUCAAAUGAAUUUCGAUACAAGACCGAGCGGUUUAGGGAGCUCCAAUAUUUAGGUUACUAAAUUCAAAUGAAAUUGUGAACCCUGAUUCUGACGUUUGCAAAGGUUUUCUUGUGCGUCUACGCAUCUCGAAGGUUGCAAGUCGAAGUAAAUCAAUUUAUUUAUAUUACUAAAUUCUAUUUUCCACGAAAUACUAUCACGAGGUAAAGAUCUUAAGCGGUCCAGUUAGCACUUCUGUUACCCUAAACAAAGCAACCGGCUUCUCAUUGGAGUGACUGAAUGACAAAUUUAGUCUGAAUAAAAGAAUUAUCCAAUGUAAACAAGUCACUGUCAAAAGAUAACUGAUCUAAUAAACAAUUACCCAACGUCCUUAUCAACUCACAGAUGGCACCAACUUCUACUCUGCGACUUCUUUAAUCACCUCAUCAUGUCAAACACCAUCGUUAAUUCUAUAAUAACGCAUUAUAAAAACCACUUAAACCUUACCGAUUUCCCUGAAGGCGACCUCCACUUGCGAAGCAAAACGCAGUGCCUGAUCAGAAAGCUACAAAGAUGACGCUCCAAGAUGAGAUUCUCAAGAUCUCUACACCCAUAGUAUAAUACUUUGCAUUGGAUCUGAUGAUCUACGCGGUUAACUGCAACCUCUUGUCACUUUAUUUUAUUGGUGAUCCAACGACUAGUCCUACUUAAUUAACUAGUAAUCUGUAGUAUAUGCGUUCAGAACGUCCACAAUUAUAUGCGAGACAGGCGCUGCUGAUGUUAUUGAAGGUUACUGUAUCUGUCCUGCUAAUUUGUCACUGGAACAGUAGCACAUGCAGGUAAGCAGUUUGCAGCAAAAAAAAAUGUUUCAGCUAGGUUGCUGCACAUGUGUAAAUUGCACUGGAUAAACGUCCCAGAUCAGCAUGGUUAGAGUUCAGGAAGUUAGAACUUAUCCAGAAUUCCAGACCAUGAUGAUUUUCAGGAAAUCAAAGAGAGAGAUGAAAGAGCCCUAAUCACCAACCUCCUAUUAAACACUGCAGUAAAUGUGAAGCAAUAUAUGGGCCAAGGGAGGAGGGGUACUACUCCAACCAAAGUUUUUGCUGAAAGUUGCAGGGACUUAAAAACGGUGAUGCAAUUGAGAAUUGACAGGCACAGGCACAAUCAAUUGGAUGAUGUUGCAGUCUUGCAGAAAUGCAGAGAGGACAAGCCAUGAAGAUGAAGUCCACAUCCAAACCAGAUUGGCCUCGAGCUAUACCAUGGACUCUCACCUCCCUGAGCUCCUGGUUUGGAGGAACCUAUGGUCUAGCCAGCCACCUGUUUUCCCCAUCUGCCUCAAGAAACCAUUGGCCACUGUGCCAAGUUGGCCCAUGAACACCAACUGUAUAUAUAAACAUGCACAGGUAAGUUCACUGAUAACUUCUCCAUCUACACAUCACAAGUUCACAGCAAUUGCCAAGUACUCUCUGAGCUCUCAAGCUACAAGUUCUUAAUUACAUAGUAGCUUCUUCAGUGAUCGUGAGGUUAACAACAAGAACAAGAAACGAUGAGGUUUGUAUUGGUGAACAAGGCGUACAUGGCGGUGACGCUGGGCGCCGCCAUUGAGCUCAAGGAGCAAGUGGCAAAGCCGUGCUCGUCGGCGGCGAAGCGGGGCGCCUCGGUGCUCGCCGUCCGGCCCUCCUCGUCGGCGGCGACGGCGGCCGCGGCCGCCGCCGAGGAGUCGCUUAGGAUGGUCAUGUACCUCAGCUGCUGGGGUCCAAGCUAAGCGACUUAAGUAAUUAACCGUGUCAGACAUUUGCAUGGUCUGAUCAAAAGCAUCAUCAUCAUCGAGCAGAGCUGACUCGAUCCGGUUCGAGUUCUUGGCCAUAACAUGCGUGCUCGUGGAAAGCUCAAGAGAUCAAGCUUCAGAGAUCGAUGGAACAUGGCAGAAAAAUCUAUGUACAUUAGCUAAGAACGCAUGUACAUAUAUGUAUAGCUAGUUUCAACUUCCAAGUGCAUUCUGAGAGGGCUGUGAACUUCUCUGGUUUGUGCUUCCUUUUGACUUGAACAAAAAGAUCAUGCAAGCAGUUGCCUUGCUUGGACUCUGAAGCUUUGCUUUGGCGUCUAAAUUAAAUCAAGAUCCUACCUGAAUGGACAGUGCUGAACAGAUAGAUAAGUAGUAGUACUUAGCAUUUAGCAUUGAACUAGUUCUUGUCAACGAUAAGUAAUCCAAUCCAAGCGUGAGCUCACGCGUGCACUUUGAGUGAAAAUUCAGAAUUCUAGAUGGUUCGAAAGGCACAGGCUCGAUAAAAGUUCAGUUUGACGGCACCACACACUUACAGAUAUUCGUCGCGGAUGAAAAAGUCGCCAAGAUACCAUUUGCAAGUGGUGUAAACUUUGAGGGCGUCUCUUUGAAAUGUAGGAUAAAAUUUUUUAAAAAAAAACAUAGGAAACUGUAGGAUUGCGUGUGUAUAACAAAAUAUUGGAACAUACAUGAAUUUUAUAGACGUGUUGUUUGAAACAUAAGAAAAAAAAAUAAAGAUAUAAGAAUAUUAGAAUGAACACGAAUCUCAAUGCAUUUUAUUACUCACAGGAACAUGCAUGCUAAGCCAUGGGUAAAUGGGUCUUACAGGAACAAUAGUCCAUUAGCAAAGAAUGAUGUGGCCAACAGUGGGCCACCAAAGAAAAAAGAAGAGAGUUAUAGGUACUUAUCAGGAUGGUAUAAGUUGGUUUUCAGGUGGACAAGAGAGGGAGAUCAGGACAGAAAGGCUUUUACAAGGACAUACGUUUAUUCUAUAGAGUACCUACUUAUACACUUUAGGUGCUUAGGGCAGAAAAGAAAAGGAGUUGCUAAGUGGAGAAUAAAUGCCUUGCUUUAAUUUGCCUUUCAACAUGGAGACACUAUGCAUAACACUUGUUUCUCCAUAUAUUGAUAUAGGAAGUAAAAUGCUCAGCAAAAUAGGAACCGAGGGCUUGUUUAAUUUGUUGCCCAAAUCAACUUCCUAAAAUUUGUUAAGCCAAAUUUCGGCACAUUUGGCAUAGGGCUCUUUUGGAAUUAAUGGAGUAUUUUUCAUAGGGAUUUCAUAGGAUUGAAAUCCUAAAGAAAAAUUUUCUAACUAAGUUGAUUGGGACAUAGGAUUGAAAAUAUGAAAAUUCCUAUGAAUUGCAAUCCAUAAGCAAUUCCAAGGGAUUUUACGCACGCGCUCCAACCCUAUUUUGAUUUUUUUUUUCUUUGACAAGUCCAAUGCUUCUUCUCUCUAAUUUCCCAUGAGUUAUCCAAACUCAUCAUUGCAAAUUCAUGUAUUUUGCAUUCUUGUAGGAUUUUCUUACAUGUGACAUCUCAUUCCUAAUUUUUUUUCUGAUCCCGUAUUUCUAAAAUAAAAUCAUGUGUUUCAGAAAAGCCCUUAACCAUAUUUCAAUAUUAUUGAUGUGUUUGUUACAGUCUUUUUUUUUAUGUUUUUUGAGUUUGGGAGGAAACUUUUUGAACUAAUACCAAACUUUAGCAUGGUGACAAUAACAACAGUAUAUUUAGGGUGUGUUUAGUUCACGUUAAAAUUAAAAGUUUGAUUGAAAUUGGAACGAUGUGAUGGAAAAGUUAGAAGUUUGUGUGUGUAGGAAAGUUUUGAUGUGAUGAAAAAGUUGGAAGUUUGAAGAAAAAGUUGAGAACUAAACCCCGCCUUAGUUUCUUAUAAGAGCAGGUACAAUAGCAGACUAUUAGCCAGCUACAAAUAUAUUUUAAUGAGAUAAAAGAAUAGAGAGAAAAGCAGCGGGCUAUAGAUCUACAGCUAGCUGCAGCACGGACUCCAAGACGCAACGUGUGUAUAACAGGUGGGACCAUAUACUAAUAGUAUAGUAAGCAAUUAUUGUAUGAAUUGGCUAUUAAAUUAGUUAUAGAUGAAUUGGAGUUAGUAGUGGCUAUACUAUUAAACUUGCUCUGAGCAACCAAAAUGUGAUAUAACAGGGGUUCAAAGUGACACAAACAAACUAGAGUAAACAAUCCGUGAAAUACAUGACUAGUUUGGUUUAAAGCCUAAAUUAGACUUACCAAUAUUUGGUAUUUUCAAUAGUGUUUAGUGUGUAUUUGGUUUGAAGCUAAAUUUUAGUAUGCCUAAGAAAAUAUGUCAUUUCAAUAGUGAACUUAGGCUAUUUUGACUUCAAUCCAAACACAACUUUACCUUACCAAAAUUAGACAUGUCAAAACUUGUCAAAAUUUGGCAUUGAUAAAAAUUAGUAAAGGCUAUUUAGUCCACAAACUAAACCAACCCACAGAUCCCAACACCAAUAAUUGGUGCCAUGUCAGGAAACAGGACAAAUUACCUCGUCCAUGCCGUGUCAGCCAUCAAACAACAAUUGCCCCUCUUGAACACCGUAAAAUAAAGAGCAGGGGAGAAGUGGACAAAGGAGUGUGGAUGUAACGGAAUCCGAAAGACGACGAGGCUGUGGACGUGAUGUGCCCAAACUGCCCCUCGUCGGAAAGCGAUGACUCACCACUGCCCCCCUUCUCAGGAUAAGCCCUGCCACCUGUAGGCUGUAGCACAGUAGCCGCAUUUUCUCCUCCUCCCACGAUAAUAUCGGCACGAGAAUUCGAUGUCAAAGUUGGCUAAACUGUACUACUACUAGUAUAAACUGAUCCGUUUCUGCGUCGUCGUCGUCUCGCGAGAAGGAGGGCGAGAUGGCGGGAGAAAACAUGUGUACAGGUCCCAGCUGAGAGGAGGAGGUGGGGGAGAAAGCGAAAAAGCGAAAGUGCAAAACCGCCUCACAAAAACCAUCAGCCGCAAUGGCCGAAACGACCUCCCCUUCGCUUCCCCGCUACAAAUACCGCCCCGCCUCCCCCAUUCUCCCAUCUCCGAAACCCAUCAUCGGUAGCAAGCAGCACCGCGCCGGAGGAGAGGCGAAGAAGAGGGGGAGUGAGUGAUAUAGUGAUUAGAGAUGGCGCAGCUGAGCCGGGUGUGGGUGGCGGCCACGGUGGCCGCGGUGCGGGCGCAGCGGGAGAGGGCGCCGGCGGCGCGGGAGCGGGUGGCCGGGCUCGCGCCCCAGGCGGCCGCGCUCGCCGCCGCGCGGGCGGCCGCCGACGCCGACGGCCGGAGGCAGGCCGGCGCCGACGAGUCGCUCCGCAAGGCCAUGUACCUCAGCUGCUGGGGGCCCAGCUAGUGGCAAUUGCGGGGGCCGGGUCGAACGGGCUUUGGGCCUCGGCUGAACGGGCCGGGCCGGGCUGGGAUGGGCCCCAUGGGGGCAGCCGGGUAGGGUUGUUAGCUAGCAUGAAGGCGCUUUGAGAUGUGGGGGCUUUGGUUGAUGAAAACUUGGAAUUAACGGCUGGAAAUUGUGGGGAUUGAGGCUGGUGGCUGUAUUGUACAGCCACGGUCAUGGUGAUUCCUGUACAUAUUUCAUGGAAUCAAUUGAAAAGGAAAAAAAAAAGUAUUUCAUCAUCUGGGAAACUACACUAGACUACUCCAUGUACCUCCAUGUAGUAGGCUACAUGGAUGAUGGAUAAAAUUAUUCAGUGGAUGAUCCAAUUAUCCAAACACAAGUUAUUUUUCUUGAUAUUUUUUCUUGAUUGUUACGAAAAGCAUGCAAAAUAGGCAUUGGGCUGUGCGGCACUCGACCGUGAGGCAAUGAAUCCAAUGAUCACUUGUGUUCAUGCUCCCGUGCACAAGAAAUUGCAUGCGGCAUGCCUUGCAACUUGCAAGUUCUCUUUAUUUCUUUUUGACUGGAUUUACAACUUGCAAGUUGUUGGCAAACCAUGAAACCAGCAGGAUGCUCCAAAACCAGAGCGCUUCCCCGAAACUGCACGAUGACACGAACAAAACGGAGCUCGAGCAAAGGCUGCACAAUUUCUUGCAGCCUGCGGCAGCUUUCCGUAGGUGUACAAGAUCAGAUUCGAUCUCCGGAACUCCAGAAAUUCAGGCGGUCCGGCUCCGGCCUGACCUAGUCGCACAGGGUCGCGGGGCGCCUUUCAACUUGCCAUCCUUUUCCGCGCUUUGCUGGUUAAUUUGGAGCCACCUCGCCGGAGCCGGAGCCGACGACACGAAUACACGAUGGCACGCGAGGCCGGAGCGGGACGGGGGGUGUCGAACUGUCGACGAGUCGAUCCAAAGAGAAGUUAAUCGCUUCGUCCAAACUCCGGAAGGCCCCCGCGUCGGCCGCUCUGUUGAUUGGCCCCGGUUCACGUGGCUUCACGUGGCGCCGGGCCAUCGCGGUCGCCGGCGAAGACGGGUGGCGCAGGCAGAGGCAGAGACAACGGGUCCCGCCCCGCCCGACGUUUUUUUCUCCGGUUGGGGAGAGGGGGGUCAUCAUUGGCUAUUCGGCCGGCUGGUACUCCCACGUUGUGGGCAAAGGUCGACGAGGCCCAGAUCAUUUGAGCACGCUGACCCACACAGUCCUGUACGUACGUUUGAGCUGUGUGGGUUCAGUCAGGGCCGCAGGGGAUCAAUUGGCUGAGGUAAUUCGGCUCUCCGCUUGUGCAGAGAAGGAGCCCAUCUUUACAGCGCUGAACAAAAUCUGUCUUUAGCAUCCAGCUGUGGAAUAAGUUUGUUUUGACUCCCACAAAUAUAUGUCCAAUCUGAUUCAUAUCCCUGAACCGAUUUCCCCAACUAUUAAAACCAGCGCAAUUUGACUCCCUCAGCGGUUUUCACUAACGUAGUUCGUUGACCUGGUCCAACCUAACAAGUCAGCAUGUGAGGCCCAUAUGUCAGCUUCUCUUUAUUCUUCUCCCUUUUUUUUCUUCCUCUCCUUUCCCUCACACGCGUAUAGUGGUUCUAACCAGACAAUGGUAGCAUGGCCCAAGGCAGAGCAAGGAGCUGGGCAACCCCGAUAAGGUGUUUGGCAUGGUGGUAGGGCAGACCGCGGACCUGAUGUAUAGAAGCGGCAUGGCCUCGAGGCUCGAGGUAAAGCGGUGGCGCGAAAGCAGCCACAUGUGGUGGACGGAGGAUGCCGCCACCGCCACUGAGGGGAUCUAGGGGUAUAAUGAAGGGAGAUGCACUUGCGGAUUGCCGGUUGCCCCAGCGACAAUGAGAGUUGCUUGUACACCGCUGUCGCUGCAGCGCUUGACAGGUUGAGCAGGGUUCAGGAGCACGGUACCAUCGGCAGCUUCCCCUCUGACACCGCCGCAUCGUUCGGGGUUGGGGAGUGCAACACAAUUGGUGGCUGCCUAUUGCCACCGCUUGCCUACAGCGACACGGGCUGGGAGUGCACCGUUGGAUUGGUCACCUCGCGCUGCUGUGAUGUGAUGCCUCUCCUUCAUGCCACAAGGCAGCGUACUUUGGUGAUAGACGAUGUGACCCAAGUGGCAGCGAUUGCCUCUUUGGCUUCCUCCAUCGCCACCACUCGCCUCCUAGGGGAGGGCAGCGAGCGGGCUUGCACUGCCCGUCGAAGGGGUGUUGCGCUCGCCGCCUCAGGUGUGAAAGAAAGGAGGAGAGAGGGGAGAAUAAGAGUGGGGGCUGACACGUGAGCCCCACAUCAUUUUUUUUCCUUCUCACUUACAUGCAGGUCCAUAUCUAUUUUUAAUUUUCCUGGGCUGCCACGUGGACGCCACUAAAAAACCAUUUUGUUUGGAGUCAAUUGUUUUUAUAGUUGGGGGGGGAGGUUAGAGAUAUCCAGUAUUACGGUUCAGGAUAAGAAUUUGAUUGUUGGACCUAUAAUUGAGGAAGUCAUAGUGGACUUAUUCCAUCGGCUGCUGUUGCUCAAUUUUGCGCCAAAUACUUUUUAGUCACGGCCCACAUUCUAUUACCGGGCACACAUAAUCUUUAUAUCCGCUUCGGCCCACAAGGCCAUAACCCACGCCCUCUUGCCGGCCACACCAGGCACACGUGUAACGGUUAGCGCAGAAGCAUUAAUACUGUAACAGAUAACAGAUUAACAGCCCUAAAAAAGGAUCAAAGGGCAGAAGAGUACACAAACUCACGAACAAAUACGGCAUACAAAAGCGUUGAUCUCAUCUGCAAGGCUGCUGCAAUGUCUGAAUUAAUAAUGUCUCCAAUUACCCAUCUCCCCACUCUCGUCUAGUCUCGUACCCCCAACAAAUCAACAACAAUACAAACGCGUCGAUCAAUAAUCAAACGUGUACUCUACAAAGAAUAUUUACUAGUAGUACAUUACACGGCACACGUCUACACACGCAGGCGCAAGCCUCGACCGACCGACCGCGAGUAGUCACACGUUGUCGGGCAGGUCGAAGUGCUGGACGCCGAGCACCUGCAGCGCGGCGUUCUGGACGAAGAGGACGAGGCCGCAGCGGGAGGCGCGGAAGCCGUCCCAGAGCGGGAACUGCACGGACCCGGACACGGACUUCUUCGCCGACGCGCCGUCGCGCACGGCGGCCACCUUCUCCAGCCGCCGCACCACGUGGUCGUUGAGCAGCGACUUCCCCUUGUUCUCGCCGCGCCCGCAGUCCGUCACCAGCCCGCUCUCGUACAGCGCCACCAACACGCUCCCGCCGCCCUCCAUCCGGCUCCGCAGCGUCCCCGUGAACGACGCCUGCAGCGUGCUCGGGUUCGGCCGCUGGAACGUCACCUGCACACAGUGCCAUUAUCGGUGCAAGAUGCAGAUCAGAUCACAAAGAUGAGCUUAAUUGCUUGCUGCUUAUCCAAAGAUUUUAAUUACUUCUAUUUUAACUCGUGCAGGAUACGUUAAUCUGACCGUGACAUUCCAUCUGGACAAUCCUAAUCAAGUAAGCUGUGGGUUGCACAUGCGAGAUAAAAAAAAUAAAUCAAUGCUGAUCUGAAUUAGUACCGAUGAGAUCUACUCCACAGUUAAAUGGAAGUGCCGUUAACAUCGAUCGGAAUCAUCCUGGAUCGAUCGGCCAGAUUCCAGAACAGAUCAGAUCCAAUGAUGCAUCUAUCACAUGCACGCAGUUGUACGGCCAACUUUUGACCUCCUUUUUGUCGAACCAAUUAAACACUGGGCCAUCCAACAGCCAGAGUUGCAGCACCACGACAUGCUGUUCACCUGUAGGCGCUUUACCUUGGAGUCUUGGACGACGACAAAUAGCACGCCGCAUUUGCAUUGAUCCAUGGCAUCGAUCGUGCAAUGCAACGGUGCAAUAUCUCGGCGGCGUUCUUGGCGCGUCAACAGCGGCGCGCAUGCAUGAUGCAAUCGGCUAGUUAUGGCUUGAUGGUGCGUACCUUCAUGGCGGGGGCGGGGUAGCGGGGCGCGUCGCGGACGGCCUGGGCGAGGGCGUCCUGCUCGGUGCCGACGCAGUGGGCGCGGCCCUGCACGACGGCCUGCGGCGUGAACAGCGUGUCGAGCCGGAGCGCCUCCACGUACGCCUUCUGCCGCACCGUCCACGCGCUGGACGCGAACGGGUCCUUCCACCCGCGGUAGUCCCAGUAGUCGACGUGGAAGCCCAGCACCACCACGCCGCGCUCCCCGCCGCCUCCCUCGCCCGCCGCCGCCCGCUGCUGGUCCUCGUGCACCAUCCGCGCCGCCACCGCGUCCGCCUCCGGCGACGCCCCGCACCCCUGCGAGCAGAACAGCUCCAGCAGCACCGGCCCCGGCGCGGCCGCCGCCGCCGCCUCCUCCGGCUGAUCCGGCGCCGACGCCGUCGCGCUGCCCCUGCCAAAACACGACAACAGCCGCGGCGCCAUGUUGCGACACACUACGAUCGCUGCUGGCUAUCUGGGAACUUAGCCGUGAAGGGAAUGAACCAAGGAGGAGGUAGCGAGCGAGCUAGCUAGCUAAGCUGGUGUAGUGUGUGGCGGGCAAGGUAAGUAGCUGUGGUGUGGUGGUGGGUGGGUGAAAGGUGAGGAGGAACGUGGCGGUGGAGACGGCAACAGGAUACCAGCCUGGGACAGCACGCAACCUCUCCUCUACUCGCACAUCUAAUCUACCUUCGCCACGCCUCUCUCCGGCCUCAGGCCAUGUGUGUGCUAACCUAGCUACAGAUUUAUCUACUUCGUUUGUUCUUGACUUUGCAUUAUAGUUCUUCUUUUGUUUUAGCUGUCCUCCAGUGCGAUCGGUGGCCGACGACGCGCGUUGCUCUAAUAAUGCACCGCACGAUGCUAGAUCAUGUUGGCUUCUUCUUCUUUGGCAAAAGAAUAAUCGCAUAAUGCAAUUGGGUAAAGGGCGCACUUCUGCUUGCCCUUUUGCUUGCCUGCUGCAAACUGGAAUCCGUUGAUCAUUUGGUACGGUGUAUUCUGCCAGCACGAAGUGGAGACGCCCGGGAGAAUUUUCGGUUCGUUGAGAACGGUGUCGCUCGGGGACUGGUCGAUCGGUUCGGUGAUUAAUCCAAACGAUGCUGUGUGGUUCCUGUGAUAUAUCGAUCGAUAGUCCUCCUGACUGCUCAGGCGAUCGAUCAGUGUCGCAUCAAGCUUGGAUUUCGUGGGCGAUCAGCCGAUCACAUUUGCGAGCGGUGGCGACUGCGGCCGUGCAGCUGACAGUACAGAGACGUGCUAUCUGAAUAUCCUACUGUAUCUCUGUCGGUGCCUACCUGCAGACACGUCCGUGAGCCUGGCAACUGGGCCGAAAGGCCGGCCGAGUGUAACGAGAUAUGCUGCCUGGUCCGGUAUGCCAUACUGGGCCGUUCUCGGCCGCUAUAACACGAUGCACGGUAUGGGCCUCACGGUAUCCAGCCCGCACGUAGGUUUGCAAUCCGGUUCCUGCCCACAGACAUGGAAAAGUCCACUGUGUCUCCCUCAAUAUUGGUCAAAUAUAAUUCGUAUCCCUCAACUACAAAACCGGGUAUAAUGUAUCCUCCAACUGUUAAAACUGUGCAUCAUGACUCCUGGCAGCCUAAUCAUCAAUAAAAUAAAAUAAAAUAAAGUAAAGUGGGCCUCACAUGUCAUCAUCCCCUCCCUCUCCUUCUCUUAUCCAUUAUUUCUUCCCUACACAACAAGGCAUCGGCGACAGGCGGCGUUGAGGCAGGAGGUGAAGGAGAGGGCAGCGGCGAGUGGCAACAGAUGGCCGCUCGACGGAGGGGCUCGAGGGAGGUGCCUGUCAGAGGCAACCCAAUAUGGACGCAGGGUCGUGCAGAUGGAGGUGGGGAUCUAGGUAGCGAGGCUGGGUGGGAGUGUGCUGGCGAGCGUGUUCUUUGACACGUUGAGGACAGCCAGGUGUAGGAGCGUGUAGACGGCGAGGGAGUGGAAGAGGUGGGGGUGACUAGGGAGAGCAUAUGAGCAAGAGGCAAUUGUAGGGAGGAGGUGACGGCGGAGGAGGAGUGGAGAAGCGGAAUGAUAGGAGUGGAGUGGAGAGCAGGUUGGUGCAGGGGAGCUCGUUGUGCUUGGUCCUUUGACGUCGGCCUCUCCUUGAGCUCCCUCUCUUCACUGGCGUCAAGAGGACUCGCCGGCCACUUUGCGGCUCUUCAACCACACCUCCAAUCCGUACGUUCAUGGCAACUAGGAGUUCCUCCGCUUGGCGGUUCUUGACCACUCCCCUCCCCACUCCGCCCCACUGGCCCUAUGCACGGUGGCGAUGCUUGUGCCUGCGGGGCGGCAUUGCAACUAGAUCUUCUCCACCCGCGUCGUCCACCUGCACCUCCUUCUCGCCUCCCAAUCCAAGUGCCAUCAUCUCUCUCGCCUCAUACUCACCAGCACUGAGCUCUCCGCGCCUUCUCCUCCUCGAGUGGUCAGCGCCGCUCGCUUUGGCAAGGAUCUUGCUCACGCAGUGAGUGCUUGCCGCCAGCCGCUCCCCCUCAUCAUCCUGUACGUGCCACCGUUGCUCUGUGUCAUCGUCCCGCGCGCCGCUGCUGUGGAGAAGAAGACGAGAGGUGUCGACCAGGAAGGGGGAAGAGGAAAAGGAGAGAGGAAAGAGGAUGACAUGUGAGGUUCAUAUACUGAGUCAGACUGUUAGACUAGUUCAACGAGCCACAUCAUUAAAAAACCACCCUUAAAACCAUUGAGAGAGUUAUUUUUCACCGGUUUUGAUAGUUGGAGUCAUGUUAUAUCUGGUUUUACGGUUAAGGGAUAUAAAUUAGAUUUGAAUAUAUUUAAGCGAGUAAACAUGGACUUCCUCCCAUAGACAACCCGUUCAGCUAUUGUGUCGGCCCAUGUGUUCUCGGGUAGCCGAGAGCUGCGCGGGCCUGGGCGAACAAUACGGAAGUUUCAUACGAAUCCGCUACUCCCAUGGGCCGUGGAGGGGAGCAGCGUGCGACUUUGAGGGCCCGCGUGCCACCGAUUUGUGUUCCGCUGUUCUGCGUGCGUGGACGACGCCGACCCGAUCGGCCACUCCCGGUCAAAACCCAACUACCCGAUUGACCCGCGUCGGCGGCGGCAACGCCCAACCGCCACCGCCGCGCGUGGCUCCACUCGCGCCGUGCAAUCGUGCAUGCCAGCUUAUACAGCUCCAGCCGUCUGAGUCACCGCGCACACGGCAGCAUCCUUCGAAGUACGCCGGCCAUUUCCUCCGCGUACACGUACGUGUUCCCCCGAUCUCGACGUCGUCGUCAGAUCCUCGUGAUUAUCGCACCAGAUUAAUCCGCAUGCAGCCCACAUCGUAUAUUUUCGUCGUUCUGCCUGCUGCUGGAAAAGCGGUAAACUGUGGGUUCAUUAUUGAGUUUCCGUUUCGAUAAUCCACCGAGAAAAAUCGACGGAUUAAUUAGGCGUUUCACGCUGAUUCACAUGACCUCCUUGAUCGUUUUUAAACUUACAGUAGUUCACCGUAGAGGUUGGUGAUCCAUAUUUCGAACACUGUAGUUAUCCUACGCUGCAGGGAAGCUCAAGCUUCAGCCUUCAGGCCAACGGGCCAAGCAUGCAUGCAUACACCGAAAGGACAAAGCUAAGGCGCCCGACUGAUCGAGAGGUUUCAUCGUAUCUUUCCAUUUUCUUUUCCUGACGUAAUUCAUCGUAUUGUAUAGAAAAAAAACAUAGAUUUGGUGUGUGGAUUUGUGGAUAACGCAGCCGUGAUCGAUCGAUGUUGAAACGUACCGUGCGACGGAAUGCGUGGUCGGUCGCUCCGAAUCGGGGCCUGUCACGUGUAACCAAAUCCAAAACCUGUGGGUCAAAAUUCUCCAAGUCAAAGCACUCGCAGCCUACAAAAUCUAAACCCAAAUCCAAAUCUCCGGCGGGCGCGGCAUUAAUUAAUUACGGGAACUUCACUUUACACGUCGGCCGGAGAGAAAAAACACGAGGUUUAUCCACAAAUUAAUCCGGAUCACACCCACAACAACCCACCACCUGUCUCUUCUUUCUUUCUUUCUUUCUUCCUUUUGCUUUGGAUUGGCGUCACGCAUUCGCAGCCGCGCGCAAUUAAUUUGCGCUAAUCCAUCCGGAUCGAUCGAGCCCUUUUCCUUCUCGUGAUUGCACAAUGCUCGCUACAGUAGAGAAUAGUACUCAACCAGCUGCUGCUACUGCACAAAUGCACAAUGUUUUGGGUUGGUGGCUUGCGUUGCAUGGCCUUAAUCGUCCGGGCUUUUCUUUGAUCUGUCUUGCUUUUCGCGGAUGCGAACACGUGAGAGAGAUUUUGGGGCCCGGAUCGUGUCGAAUCAGCCAUGGAUAAGACGAGUAGUGACAGUGUGAUAUGCAGCAUCCCUUUUGGUGGAAAAGGAGGUUUUUGGCCUUCUUCACACGAGUCUCCUCGUACGAAUUGCACUGUUCAAGUGUGCCUACUGCCUUCUUUUAGUUACUUCCCACACGCUCUUCUUGCUCCCGGUUUCUGUGAUGUGUGCCUGCCCCUAUUGAGCUAUUAUACAGUAGUGGAUAAGAACAUACAGAAAGGUUUUGUUAAAGAAUGACUCUACAGCUUGCACACUGUUUAAUAAUAAGUGUUUAUCCCUCUAAUGAGCUAAGAAGUUUGUCGCAGCCAGCUUCAUACUUUAACCUUCAGUUUAUAAGCAUAAACAGAAAAUUUAGUUUCAAAACUUAAAUUUUGAGUUGAUCUUGAAGUUUUCUUAUCGUGGUUUAUUUUUCAUCGUUUGCUUUUAAAUAGCUUAAUAACAUAUUUAUAAAAGUUUUACUAGUAAAUUAUAUUUUAAUCAUUAAUAAGCCGUUUAGCUUAUAAUCAAAACGAUCAGACAGGUGUAGUGAACUUUUUAUUAUCGUUUACAAUCUACGGGAAACUAUUCUACAAUCUACUCAAAGAUCGUGCACGGUACACGGGUACACGACCUUCCCUUUUUGUGGAUCUCCGGUACGCCUUUGCAACCACAAGCUGGCAGACAUGUUCUGGAAGAAAGCAUCACAAACAAAUGCAUAGCAGCAGCGCCAGCUGAUGGAGUGGAUAAUGCGUAAACGGGCUAUAAAGUUGGCGUGGCACGGGCCGAAAAAUGCCGUGCGAGCGCGGCACCCUGGCCGCCCGCGCGCGACGAUCCUCGGCGACGACACCAGUACACCACGACGUUGAUGCGCGCGGCAACGAAGGAUUAUUACGCGAAAUGUGGCUGGAAAAACCCGCGGAUUCCACGUGAUCCGCUGCUCAUCAUCACGAACGCCGGUGGAAGCGGAAGAGAAAAAACACAGCCAGAAUACUGUUUGAUGCCGCUUUGUGAUUGUGCGGUGUGGCGUGGACGUGUUUUGUGCUGAUUGUCCACAGGCACUGACGUUCAUACUACUGUUCUUCGUCAAGAAAACGAAGUUUGCUUAUGAUAAUGUGAGUUCGAUCGAUUGAUCAAAUGCAUUGUUCUUGAAUUAAUACAGCCGGCACGAACUCAUAGAGCAACGUUCUUGAAACUUGCAUUUAUAUUCAUACUUGAUCCAAAACAAUCCCCAAGUAGAGUAUCCGGCACAGAUAAAUUAAACCGGAACUUUAAAAAUGAAAAGAAAACGAAAGAGAGACUAGUGACUGCUUUUUCGUCGUCGUCCUAGUACUAAGACAAUUGGGGUAUAAUACAGAAAAAUGAGAAAAAAGAAAUAUAAGAUUUUUUUUAAUGGUAGCUUAUUUGCGAACGAUGUCAGCGACCGACGCGCUGAGGUCAUCAGUUGGCGAGCUUGGCCGGGUCGACCUUGCCGUUGCGGUUGCCGGCGGCGGGCAUCUCGACGUCGGCGCCGACGUGCACGUCCUCGUCGCGGAUGAACCUGCCCCAGUACCAGUGCGACUUCCAGACGAGCACCAUCUCCUCGAUGGGCACGUUCUUGGUCUCCGGCAGGAAGAAGGCGACGAACAGCGUCAUGAUCACCACCCACGCGCCGAAGAAGAAGAAGAGGAUGAACUUGAAGCGGCAGAGCAUGGGGAGGAACGCCUGCGCGAUGAUGAAGGUGAAGAGCAUGUUCACCGACACGUUGAUGCUCUGCCCCGCCGACCUGAUCUCCAGCGGGAAGAUCUCGCUGGGGACGAGCCAGCCCAGGGGCCCCCACGACCACGCGAACCCGGCGACGUAGGCGCAGAUGAAGAGCACCACGAACGCCGCGUACGCCUUGGGGAUGUCGGCCACGCCGGAGAACCCGAACUUGGCGCCGAUGAGGCUUCCGACGACGAUCUGGCACGCCAGCAUCUGCGUCCCGCCCUGGAGGAACAGCUUCCGGCGGCCGAGGCGGUCGACGGUCACGAUGGACACGAAGGUGGCGAAGACGUUCACGAGGCCGGUGAUCACGGCGGACAUGAGGGACGCGUCGUCGGCGAAUCCCAGCGUCUUGAACAGCACCGGCGCGUAGAACAUGAUGACGUUGAUCCCCGUCAGCUGCUGGAACAGCGGGAUGGCGAUGGCCAUGGUCAGCUGCGGCCUGUACCGGCGCUGGAGGAUGUUCCGCCACGGGUGCGCCACGAGCUUGGACUCCUCGCUGGCGGCCACCAGGUCGUUGUACUCCUCCUCGAUGUCGUCGGUGCCGCGCACGCGCCGGAGCAUGCGCUUGGCGGCGUCGGUGUGGCCGCGGUCGAUGAGGGAGUUGGGCGUGUCAGGGAGGAAGAGCGCGCCCACGGCGAUGAUCGCCGCCGGCACCGCCGCCAGCGCCAGGCUCACGCGCCACCCCCACCCGCCCUUGAUCUUGGCAGUCCCGUAGUUGAUCAGGUUGGCGCACAGGAUGCCAAUGGUGAUCAUCAGCUGGAACCCGAUGUUGAGCAUCCCGCGCAGCCUCGCCGGCGCCAUCUCCGACAGGUACAGCGGCACAGACUGUUCAUCACACCGACAAAAAAUCAUCAGUAAAAACUGUCACAUCCGAAGAACUUAAGCAAACCAACAGUAAAUUUGAAGUCAAAGAUAAGGCACAAAUUUCAGCAAAAAAAUGUAAGGUCUGAGAUUUUUGGCUCCAGCUAGAGAAAUCUUUGCACACUCAUUGACGAUAGCAACAUGCUCCAAGAAUCAAGUACUAGAAGAAAAAUCUUGACGUGCGAAUGGACACGGCAGCAAGUCGUAUUUUGCGGGUGCAAAGUCAAAGCAGAAGAAAGAGCACUGCAAUGCAUUGACGCAGGUGAACGAGAGCAGCAGCAGUGUAUGUACCUGGUUGGCGAAGCCGACGCCGACACCGAGGAGGACGCGGCCGAGGAUGAGCAUGAGCACGUUCUUGGCGGCGCCGUUGAGCGCGGCGCCGACGAGGAAGGUGACGCCGCCGCCGAACAUGGACCACUUGCGCCCCGCGACGCGGGUGACGGUGGACGCGAAGAAGGAGGCGACGAGCGCGGCGAGGUAGAGCGACGAGGUGAACAUGGUCAGCAGCGGGCUGUCGAACUUGCAGUACUGGUUGCUCUGGUUCUUCUCCGCCGCCUGCUCCUUCCGGUACACCGACGGGAAGAACUUGAUCAGGAACGGGUUCAUCGACGUCACACCCCCUGCAUCAUCCAAAAACAAAAAAUGAUUUUAAGUUUCGUUUUAAAAAUUCUUACUGCGUAAAGAUUGGCGAGUAGUAUGAAACUAUGGAAGUUUAUAAUAGUAUGGAAUAAAGAUUGCAAAAACGACGGGGACAUGGAAAGAUUCUUCUUGGUUUCGCAAGAAUCUGGCAAGUGGAAUAAAAGAAAAGAGGAAGGGAAUAUCAUGGUUUUGUUUCUACGCGUGCAAGGUGCUUAAAUGUUUAUGCAUUGAAGCUCCCGACAUGGCGGUAGGUGCACGGUGGCCAAGAGAAUGACUCCGGUUUGCAUACACCAACAUGGUUAAUUAACCAUUUUUUUAUUUAUCUCCUGAUGAUCAGCCAUAAAGAAAAGAUCAUGGACAAGAACUCACCGGAGAUGCCGAUGUCAUAUCCGAAGAUGAGGCCGCCGGUGGCUGCGACGAUGCAGGCGAAGAGGACGAACAUGGUGAGCUUCCCGGGGUAGUCCUUCCCCCCUCCGUUGUUCACCACCACGCCGCCGGCCAUUGCUGCGACGACCACCUAACCGUCGACGUAGUACUACUACAAAUCUCGAAGAGAUCACGAGCUCAAAGAAGAAACCCUCUCUGACGAGAAGAGAUCAGAGACGAGUGUAUCUAGAGACACAGAAGCGAAUGGAUGGUGAGUUUGGAGAGGCGGAGCGGCGGGAAAUAUAUAGGCGGGGGAGGGGUCCGGACUAUUCUGUAAAAGCUCAAAAUCCCAAGGGGUGGACCGCAAAAUAUGCCGCUCACAACCUCAACGUUACAGUCUGUUCCGAGUACUGGUACUAGUACUAUUUUUUUAGGAGGAAAAUCGCUUGCCGAUAUUAAUUGUGGCUAUGGAUUACCCGCGAUCCACCUGCCUCUGCUUCCUGGAAAGAGAGGCCGUUUCAUGUGAACCGAACGCUGCUUUUCCGUUGAUGGGCAACGACCGCGAUCGCCGUCCGUUUGGGGGGUGUAGUAGAUCGACACGCCGGCAAUGGCUGUCAGCGUUAUCCGGAAGUUGCAAAGGUGAUUAAUUAGACCGACCUUAAUUAGUAGUACUAGUAGUACUUUGUUGUGUUAGCAGUGUGUGUAUACAGCUCCAGUCCAGUCCACGCUACGAACGGGGUAGAUCGUAUCAUUAUCAGCUGACUCGGCCACGAAUCAGAUGCCAACCGGCCGGUCGAUCGAUAUGGUGCAAGAAUUUCUGCGUGCGUACUCUUAACUCCGGCAUGCCUGGAGAUGAUCUGGCCAGAAAUGGGGGAAAAAAUUUUGGUGGAGACCGGAUGCAAACCUUCUCGUCUGCAACCCUGCUCCAGAUAUCUGACGCGUGGACAAGUGCAUGAUCCAAUGGUGCGCUCUCCUCGGCUCCAAACCGUGUGCUAUCUGUAGCGGCCCAUCCUCCGCUCGGCUUGCGUGCCUUCGUCAGCUCGACUCAACCCCGGCUUGGUGGCUAUAGAAGCGGGAGCGACGCGCGCUACACCAAUCGGCGAUGGUGUGUCCGUGAUAGUCAGAUCAUCGGAGAAGGAGCGGGAUUGUUCGUCUUCCUACAUCUGAUAGCAGCCAAAUCGCCGGCAAUUGCAGCUACCAUGGCAGGAGAAUUAAUCCUCCACAGAUGAUGCAGCUGCAGCAUCCACCCUGGUAGGCAUCGAACCCAGACCUGCAAACGCAGUCGCCGGGGAUGGUGGAGCCGAUGAGGAGCAGUCACCGAGAAUCGUGGAGAGGACGCAGUCACCUGGGAUCGUGGAUUACUGAAUAGAUGAUCCUACAAUGCAAAACAGCGUGUUCUAGAAAUGAUUCAAGAGGACUAACGAAGCUACUUAACUGUAAAACUAACGAGUAUCUUGGAGGCUUGGAGCCAUGUUUUUGUUUCUUUAUUGUACUGCACUGAAUCUGAAUACAACUUUGUAUAACCAGUAGUCUCCAGUGCCGAAACGUUUUGGGGAGUCUUUAACAAUUCAUCUGAUAACAUCAAAUUGAUGCAUAAUGCUUGGACUAUACGAUUUCAGACAUUCAAGAUUUCGGAUUACACAAUAUUCCAUAUUUUAUUUAUCUACGGAAUCAGAUAAAUAAUCACAUUUUUUUAACACAUCCAUAGAAUGCAUAUUUUAGAACAUCUAACACGCCAUAUGUAUUUUAGAUAGAAAAAUACAUUGUACAUAUUACAAAGGGAUCUCAAUUUCCUUGCAAUUUGAGCAACAAUAGAAGGUGUCAAAUUACAGCUUAUAGCAUUUGCACUACAAUCCUUGCAAACUCUUAACAUUUUACAUAGAUUAAAUAUUUCAGAUUACAAAUAAGGACUACCAUCAUGAUCAAACUACAAUACACCAUCCUCUUUUGAUGCAUUUACAGUCCUUUCAGGUAGUACAUGUACAUAUCCCUCUUUUGUAUUUUGAACAGAAAAUAGAGAACCACCAUCAUACAAAAUUCAGUUGUCCAGGAUUUGUCAAAUUGAGAAUUGCAGAGGUUCUGCUUUUAUCAGAAACCUGAGAAUCAGGAACAAGAACUCUCUUCGUCAUACUACAAUUGUUCUCUCGAGUGCCAAAGUUUGUGUUCUCAGCCAUGCGUAGUUCUUCCAAUUGGUCAUUUCCCGAAAGUAGCACAAGACUAGUGAGGUUGAUGCAUAAGCUUUCCUACCUUUUGGUUUCAUAACAGCUUGGGUAAUGCACUAAUGCACACGAUGCCCAACAAGCCCAAUUGCAUUAAUCAAGGCAGCGGUGAUGGGCGACGAGCCGGCGAUUACCCCUGUGGAGGCGAAAAGCGGCGGCGGCCCUCAAGCGAUUGGAUGAGGAGCAGGUAGUGGACACGCCCGACGCUUCCCGGCGGCAGACGAGAGAGAUGGCAGUUGAAUCAGGAGAAAGGGGGAGGGGAACAGAUCGCGCUCGCCUAGAGCCGAGCGAGCCGGGAGGGUAUUGAGUGGAGGGAGCCGCGGCGCGCCCAGAUCAUGCCCGCCGGGAGCCAAGAGGGUCGGCCGUUCGAUUUGCUUUCUAUCCACGCGUCCACCAUCUGCAGCGGGGCUGCAGAGGCUUCGGUUUGUAGCCGGUCUCCACCAAAAUUUCUUUCAGAAAUGGGGGACCUGUGGGCAAAUAAUGUUGGUCAACACUUGGUUGGCACUCACAAUGGUAAAGUAAGGUGCUCUCUAUAAAACAUGUACAUCUCAGCAAUAGACUAGAUUAAUAGUAAACCACCUCAAUAGUAUGUCUAUAUGGGUAUCUAUAGCUCUCUAAUUCAUUGUCUCGUUUUUCUCUAUAGACUAUCUCCAAGUUAGUAGAUAGCUUUGCUCUCUCUCUUCAUUUAAUCUCUUCCAUGUAGAAAAAUAUGCUGACAUGGAUCUUUUGUAGAUAGUCUAUAUAUAAUUAUUGCGGGUGUCCUAAAGAAAACCUGAUGAACUGGAUGAGGCAUUAAUGUGUUGAAGUGUUUUGCCAUGUGCCGUUCGAAAAAAAGUGUUUUGCCAUGUGUUUGACUGUUAUCUCAGUUAAUAUCUGGACGAUCAGCUAGCUGGCACAAACUGAUCGAUCCAUCUCAUGGUGAUUUUGAGCAGCUGAUACUAUACUUUGUUCGACAGAGAACCCUAUUUUUUAGAAAAGAAACAAAGAAGAGAGGCGUGUGAACGGGUAUGUUUGGUUAGUAGUACGUUGCAAAACUAGGGAUGAAAUAGUGCAACGAGUCAUGGGAUGAGAUGACGCAGUUAAUGACCGACAAGUUUUGAAUGCUCAUUUGCAUCGCCGAAUUAACGCUUGCGUAUGCACGCAAAUGUUAAUGUACACAUAGGCACGCAUGGCGCGUCGUUGUUGGACAAAAACAGCAUGUCCAGUUGGCUUUGGCCGGUGCUCAAACCCAUCGGACAGCUUACCUCAUGUCGCUGUGUAACAGCAACGAUUUUUUCCCCUUUUUUUAUUUCGCAGGGAAAAUCCACCGGCCGAGUUUAUUAAGAUUGAUCGAAUUGAAGUAGGUUACAAACUCAACACCAAGGUUGUUGAGGUACACUCGUGUCCGUGAAUCGGCCGAGAGGGACAUAGCUGCAAAAAAAAAAAAGAGAGGAUAAGAGAAAAAUCAAAGAUGACAACACUUUCAUCGUGUAGAUAUAUACGUACAUACGGUGAACCCGCACCCGUAAAAAAUACGGUCGUUGUCUCGGCAAACUCUCGCGGAAAUCCUGCGCACGCAGGUAGCACGUCGUACCUACGUUUGCUUCAGAUAUCAUGUGUACACACAGCCGCGCGCGGCUCCGUCGCGGGAGCAGUUUUUUGUUCGCUAAUCGCCGCAAAUCUCGUCGUCCCGUCGACGACGCCGCACGCCGGUGCUCAUUUCCGUGUCAAACAUGUCAAAACCCCGUGGAAUAGCGAUCUAUCGGCGAGACGGGCGAAGAAAACGCACACACUGUACUGUUGAUGGGGUAGUUUGCUACAGGAGUCAAAGGGAGCAGGACGAGGCGGGCGCCGGUCGGCCGGGCCAUGCACACCGGCCGGUCAACGCGCGCUGCGCGCGCACGCAUGCGCGACGGAGCACCCGCGGAUGCGUACUCGCGUCAGCGUCGACGCGGCCGGCGUGAGGAGGACAUGUCGCGCUCUCUAUCUGUGCCGCUACGACCGCUUGCGGGAGACGGGGAGUAGCAUAGCAUCAGCAUGGGCGCCAGACGCCAGUGGCUUCGUACUUUCGUAAGAUACGCUAGCUUUGGUCGCUAGCGUAUCGUCAAUGGCUCGUUGGCUCGAUAUGUCAGCUACUAGUUACUCCCUCCGUCCCAAAAAAAAAGACAAACCUUAAUUUUUCGUGUACAAUGUUUGACCGUCUGUUUUAUUUAAAAAAGUUAUAAAAAAAUAAAAAAGACAAGUCACACAUAAAAUAUUAAUUAUGUUUUAUCAUCUAACAACAAUGAAAAUACGAAUUAUAAAAAAAUUUCAUAUAAGACGGACAAUCAAAGUUGAACACGGAAACCCAAGGUUUACCUUUUUUUCGGGACGAAGGGAGUAGGUUAGUACUACUCUAGUAGGAGUAGCUCGGUCCAUGCGACUAGCUAGCUAGGGCCGGGUUUAGUUACCAACUAUUUUUUCAAGCUUACAACUUUUUUAUCACAGCAAAACUUUCUUACACACGUAAAUUUUUAACUUUUUUCUUUAAACUUUCAAUUUUAGUUAAACUUUCAAUUUUACCGUGGAACUAAACACACCCCAGCCAUACCGAUUUAGCUGGAGCAGCAUGAUUGAUCGAGCAGCAGUUGCAGUUUCAGGACCGACCCACGGUGGUUACUGUGAAACCGGGGACCACCAUGGCCAUGAACCAAAGGAGACUACCGUAAAUGUUCCUUUCUUCUUUAAUAUCCAAACCCUGCCUUAAUUGAAGCGUAGGGCUUGCUACCACUACGAAGAAAUGCAAAACGUCGUCAAUGCUACGAUGACAUAUAUAACAACGUUGCAGGUCAAAGCUACAAGUCGGCCAUGCCGGCCCGUCAGUCCCCUCCCUUGUGCUUCUCCCGUUCUCCGCCUCUCCGGUGCACACAACUUGGAGGGGUAUACGGGGAUGGGCGGGGCCGCAGCGCACAGCGCACUGGCACGCCAGCGACCGAUGCAGCUGAGAUCGAUAUGCGAUACGGGCCUGAGCACGCACGCAUCCAUGCGCCAGCACGUCUCCGCGACGGCGACUCGCGCACUGUUCCACGGACAAAGAUGGGCCCACCAGUACACCACUCCAGCCGCGCUCGGGGGUCAAACCGCGCGUGUCUCCGCGACCCGCGACGAGUCAGCUCAGGCGCAGGAAGCAGCGUAGCCGGCGACGUAUACGAGUAGUAGCCGCGAUGCGUUCGCUGUUGCUGAACGCUGACUCGUGGUCGCUCUUGGAGAGAAAAACAUGUGCGCAUCGAUUGGAUGAGGCGCGAUCGGUUACGUUGCUGGGCGCCUGGGCCCCCACGGGCAGCCUCGUUUGAAGAGUCUCCGGUAGCGGACCGACUAGCGGAGUCAAGUUCGGGUUUGGUACAAAGCGGCAACUUGUGCGCAGGCGCAGCUGUCUGCGAAGGUGGGAACGCGGAAAUUUCUCCAUGUGAUUUUCGCGCCAGAAUUACUCCGUACUCCCAAUGGCCAAUUUCUUACAGGAUCCGAAAGAACUUUCUUGCUACAAGCAGUGUAUUAUCACCGUGUUUAGAUCUAAAUUUUUUCUUCAAACUUUCAACUUUUUCAUCACAUGAAAACUUUCGUGCAUACAUAAACUUCAAAUUUUUCCGUCACAUCGUUUCAAUUUCAAAUAAACUUUCAAUUUUAGCGUGAACUAAACAUAGCCUAUAUAGUACAUUCUUCAGCUGUUGAGCUGUGACUUCACACUAUGCUAAGGCCUGGCUUAGAUGGUAAAAAUUUUUGUUUUGAGAUAUUACAUUGGAUAUACGGACAUAAAUUUAAAGUAUUAAACAUUAUCUAAUAACACAACAAAUUACAUAUUCCGCCAAAAAAUUGUGAGACGAAUUUAUUAAACAUAAUUAAUCCGUCAUUAGCAAAUGUUUAUUGUAGCACCACAUUUUCAAAUCAUGGCGCAAUUAGACUUAAAAGAUUCGUCUCGUAAUUUACACGCAGACUGUGUAAUUGGUUUUUUUUUUAGAUUUAAUACUCCACGCAUGUGUCCAAACAUUCAUGUGAUUGGUGAAAAGUUGAGGUUUUUCCCUAUAUGCCAUUAAUAAAGAUGGUGCCUACCUCUAUGUCACUAAAAAGUUCGAGCCUCCCUCUCUGCCAUCAUCGAACUUUAUCGUACCCUCCACACCACUCCGUCCGUUUUUGGUAAUAACACAACAAAUUACAUAUUCCGCCAAAAAAUUGUGAGACGAAUUUAUUAAACAUAAUUAAUCCGUCAUUAGCAAAUGUUUAUUGUAGCACCAUAUUUUCAAAUCAUGACGCAAUUAGACUUAAAAGAUUCGUCUCGCAAUUUACACGCAGACUGUGUAAUUGGUUUUUUUUUUCUAGAUUUAAUACUCCACGCAUGUGUCCAAACAUUCAUGUGAUUGGUGAAAAGUUGAGGUUUUUCCCUAUAUGCCAUUAAUAAAGAUGGUGCCUACCUCUAUGUCACUAAAAAGUUCGAGCCUCCCUCUCUGCCAUCGUCGAACUUUAUCGUACCCUCCACACCACUCCGUCCGUUUUUGGUAAUAACACAACAAAUUACAUAUUCCGCCAAAAAAUUGUGAGACGAAUUUAUUAAACAUAAUUAAUCCGUCAUUAGCAAAUGUUUAUUGUAGCACCAUAUUUUCAAAUCAUGACGCAAUUAGACUUAAAAGAUUCGUCUCGCAAUUUACACGCAGACUGUGUAAUUGGUUUUUUUUUCUAGAUUUAAUACUCCACGCAUGUGUCCAAACAUUCAUGUGAUUGGUGAAAAAUUGAGGUUUUUCCCUAUAUGCCAUCAAUAAAGAUGGUGUCUACCUCUGUGUCACUAAAAAGUUCGAGCCUCCCUCUCUGCCAUCGUUGAACUUUAUCGUAACCUCCACACCACUCCGUCUGUUUUUGGUCCUAACAGUGCGUAACAGCGCAGCCAAUAACUUAGUUGCCCUUAGGCGAGAGGUGACGAGUUUGAACUAUUGGGUCUUUGGGUCGCACUCGCCGUCGUCGGUGGCGUCGUACUCCUCGCCGUUGUCGGUGCCGGACUCGUCGACGACGUCGUAGCGGCGCGCCCUCAGGCGGGGGCGGGGCGGACCUCCCGUAGGCGGCGGGAGUGGCGACGGGCCUCCCGGUGGCGGCGGACGGCGCGUCGGCGAGGAGCUGCUUGAGGAGGGUGGCGAGCGGGCGGCCCUUGAGAGCGACGGUGGAAGCCAUGGAUCUCUCUCUCUCUCUCUCCCCUUUCUCUUGAGCGCUCUGCGAUUCUUGCGGUGGAAGCCGAAGAGGUUGGGAAUGGAGGAGUUGGUGUCACGUGUGCAGCCUUUUGUAAGACGCGGUUGUCGAUGGUGGCGAGCCGCGCCGGCUGGCCGCUCCCCUCGGCUCUCAGGCAGAGCAGCAGCGUCCCUCGCCCCACGUCGCCAUCAUCGACGCCGGCUACGUGUAUGCCCACGCCGUUCCUCCUUCUCCUUGCUGAGCCGCCGCUACUCCUCCUCACCGAGACGCCGUCGUCGAUGCCCGUGAUGGCCUUGGACAACGGGCGGCGCGCGAGGGGCACCGCAAAUCGGGAGCAGCCGCGGCGGCGAGGUUGGUGAGGUGGAGGCGAGGAAGAGGGCGUGCAGCCGUCGCCGACCCAUACCCCUUCAUGCCCUUUUUCGGCGGCUGCGACGGCGCUGUGGAGUCCAAAUCCUGGCAGUUUGGCGAAAGGAGGAGGAGGCGCCCCUAACCUCCUCUGCUCAGCACCGCACAGCUCCUUCUCACCCUACGCGGCCUGACUGCCGUGUCGGGCCGCCUUUCCCCCCGUGAGCACAGCCGUGCUGCCGCGGCGCCGCAUUGAACUGCGUUGGCCGCCGCCGCGUCGCCUUCGCCCUCUCUCUCUGUCUCUCUAUGGCGCACUCGAGGCAAGCAGAGACUGAAAGGGCAAGAGCGACAUUUUUUUUAUGCCCAGGCGCACAUGUCAGCUACCAAACGGUUAAACCCAAACAGAAACAGCGACGGAAUAGGGUGGAGCGCGUGAUAAAGAUCGACAAUUGCAGAGAGGGAGGCUCGAACUUUUUAGUGGCACAGAGAUAGACACCAUCUUUCUUAAUGGUAUGCUGGGAAAAACCUCACUAAACAUGGCCAAAAUACUACUCCUACUAUACGUACAUAAACUGUAAUUGUUUAUGUACUAGCGGCAAAUAGCACAAGGACAACCGACGUCGUGACAAGAGAUAAACAAUACUACUGCUCUAUCCUUACACCGUGUAAAGCUCGAAGUUUUCCUUUUAUGUGUGUUAUUUGUUGGAAAUUUGGUCAUAAUUCGGCAUAUUUUAAUCUAAAAUAUUAAGACAAUAAACAUGACAUUUGCAAUAUGAGUAGAUCUAGUGACAGUGCUAGAUGUAUACAACUUGAGUAUGCUUAAUAUGAAAUAAGUAUCAACAUUUACAUAGUAACGCAAUGAUGCCAUUGCGAGGAGUAUUAACAAAGAAAUAUCUAAUAGAAUCGGGAGAAUGAAAGUAUACCCCGAAAAUGUCCCACCGCUGGAUUUUAAGGCAGUAUUGCCUCCGUUGAUGUCGUUCAUCUUCUUGUCUCCAAUCUCCGUUGACAUCUUGGUGAAGGCGCCGAUGCAGCAGCAGUAGCCGCGAAGAACAAGAGCAGUCGCGCUUGAAGCACUACCCAAAAACUUGAUCGCCCGCCUACCCGUGCAAGUUCUCAAGCGGACGGAGUUCCGGAGGCACCUGCUUGUCCCGUACACCUGUGUGCGCAGGUGAACAGAACCGGGGAAGGAUUCUGCAGCUCAGGAACAGAGGAGGAGGAACUCAAAGUGUAAGAGUCGUGAAGAACUUCUCCGUCCUUCUGAUCGCUGCGGAGUAUAUAUAUAUGCGAGUGCGAGAGUAAUGUUCGGAGUCAUCAACCGCGGUGUUUAAUUUCGUAACUGACACGCUCGUUAAUACGGAAUUAAUUCACGGCGUUUAAUUCCGUAACCGACGUGUUCAUUGAUACGAAAUCAAUUAUCUGUUGUUUAUUACCAACGUUUAAUUCCGUAACCGACGCGAGUAACGUUCGGAGUCAUCAACCGCGGUGUUUAAUUUCGUAACCGACGCGUUCUUUAAUACGGAAUCAAUUCACAGUGUUUAAUUCCGUAACCGACGGAAUCAAUUCACAACGUUUAAUUCCUCCGAUGUUUAUUACCGGCGUGUUCAUUGAUACGAAAUCAAUUCUCCGUUGUUUAUUACCGUCCGUUACAAAACGAGAGCGUAGCAGCGACUGUCUACCUCGCCUCGCCCCGCCUGGUUGUCCGCGCACCAUCUCAACCGGUCAACUGAGACUCUCCACUAGCUACAUAUUUAAGUUGAGACCUCUUCACUUAGAUUUAAUUGGGCCUAACCCAUUAAUCUAACAUUAUUUGCGUGGUCAAGUGGCAAGAAAGUUGUACGUAGCUCGGUAGCUGUACUUUCUUUUGAGGCGUGAACCGUGUUUACCCUUUUGUAUAGUCCCAAUGGAAUUUAAACUAACCUUAUCCAUUCACGAAAUGUUUACUCCAGUCUUCGUUCGUCCCAGCAGAGUCGUCCCAGUCAACAUUCCCGCUUCAAAAUAUCCUUCAAGUCAGUUGUUCAGAUAAAUGAAGAAGCAAAGACCACAUCUACCUGACAGCAGUGUAAAUUUUCUUCCUUCAGAGUUCAAAAAGAACAAGUCAAGAGGAAUUCGUGCACUUAUCACCUGCUGUAGUAGUUCGCUGAUGUACUUCCAGCUGUUAAACUGUCAUUUUUUGUACUGUCGUACUCAUGCAGAGACACCACAGCUAGCUAUGGCUACCGCCAAGUAAAGAAUAUCCACCGUAAGAAGAGAUUAUACUAAUACCACUAGUUAUCGCGCGCGUGCAUAUCUCUGUCACUCGCGUCGCUCCAAAAACCUAACAAAAAUCACAGCCAACGAGAGAGCUAGCCCUCGUGUGGCUGGAGGUUGGAAAAGACGAUUGAGUCAAGCAGAUUCCAUUCUGAUCACAUCAAGGAGAGUGACCCCGACCAGUGAAGCGCGCAGCAGCAUGCAGUAAGAUAAAAUAAAGCAAAAGGUAAGGAGAAUAUAGUGGAGUAAACAUUAUUGUUAAUAUUGGCUAGAAAUUGACAUGUGCAGAACAGGGCACUGAGAGCAAGUUUAAUAGUAUAGCCCACUAUUGGCUCCAAUUCAUCUAUAACUAAUGUAAUAGCCAAUUUAUACAAUAGUUGCUUACUAUAUUAUUAAUAUCUGGUCUCACAUGUUAUACAUACAUUACGUCUUAAAGUCUGUGUUGCAGCUGGCUACAGAUCUGUAGCCCGCUGCUUUUCUCUCUUUUUCUUUAUUUAUUUAAAAUAUGUUUAUAGCUGGCUUAUAGCCUGCUAUUGUACCUGCUCUCAUGGAGAGAGAUGUAGCAAUUAAAACACUUCCAUCUUCUUAAUUUGAGUUGGGGCCUUGUGGGUUGGUAAAUAACCAUGUUCUGUGGCUGAUUCCUCCCACAGUCCCCAGCCAGAAUUAUUAGUUUCUAAUUAUUUUUCAGUGCAUUCCUAGUCAUAAUCAUGUUUAUGUAGAAUCCUGCCAGGGUUUAUUUGAGAAUGACGUGAAUUCCUAAUCUUCAUGAUUACGAGAAUGACAUACAUUUUGUAGAUGCAAAGAGGGCAUUGGACGAGGAAGCAAGGCCACCAACUGACGAACACGGGUACAUACAUGUAGUGCUAUAGUGGCUGGUCAGUUAUCACCAUUUCGCGUUCUGAGAGAAAAACGUUUGUCACUAGGUAGGUAUAGUACUUUCAUCGUCUCUCCGAGUGAAUAGGAACAUGGGAUUCCAUUUGAGUGGUUAGGCCACCUGCAAAUCUUGCCAAUAUUGCAUUUUUGUGGGAGUGGGACAUGAUAUGCAAGAUGCAUGGAAUGACCUUGAGGUGAUCAUGUCAUUUUAGCAUCAAACUUUUGCCCAGUCUUGCUGGUACUGGUAGCAGUGAUGUGUAUAUAAACACAUGAGUUUUUGUCAAAAAAAAAAGUAUAGUAAGAAGAAGGCUACAGCCCCAUCGUUUGGUUUAUUCGAGCGGCAUAUUUGCAAUUGGAUAGUUGAUAAUGAGCUGACAAAAAGAAAGAAAUGAGAGCAGAAGAAGCCGAGACGUUUGAGAGCCCCAGAAGAGGAAGACCAGACAUUGCACGAUUUUGCCAUUUUGGGCUUUGGCCCAUCUCAACUGACCAGAUGUGAACUACUCAGGGAAAAAGUACACGCAAGGUCCCUCAACUUGUUAGCCAGAUACAUCCCUCAACCGCAAAACCGGACAUCCGGCGUCCCCCAACUUACAAAACGGUCACAAUAGGUCCCUCGGCGGUUUUGACCCUGGUUUUGUCCCACGUGACGGCUGACUCAGCGUGGGACCCACGUGGACCCCACAUGUUAUGGAGACCACAUCAGCACCCUCUCUCUUUCUCUAUUUCUCUCCUUCCUCUCGCUCUUUGCUCUCGCAUAGUCGGCGGCGCGCGCGGCCGAAGGGUGGUGCAGCCAGCAACGGCGGCUCCUGGGUGGCGGCGCGCGGACUUAGGGCGGUGCGAGCUCGCCGGCCUCCCCGUCCCCCUCGUGCGGUCGGAGAUGGCAGCGCGCGGCUGCGGCCAUCAUAACUGAUGCGGAGAGGAGGGCCGAUGCGGCAGUGGCAGUAGCGGCGUCACUGACGCGGUGCGGAAGAGGGUCGGUGGCAUCAUCGACGCGGCGUGGAAGAGGGUCGACGCGGCCGAUGGGGAAGAAGCGGCGGAGAGGAGAUCAACCGGCCGGCUUUUCUUGAGGUAGCGCCCGAUACGGCUGACGGGCAACUGGAGCCCGGCCUUGACGGAGCGCGUCACCGCCUUCUUCCUUGGCCUGCCGGCCUUCCUCCCGCCCGCCGCCUUCUUCACCUUCCCGCCGCCAACGUCGUCCAUCUCAACUCAAAUGGUGCUCUCUCACUAUCUCAAAUCUCAAUUCGAUUUGGAUGCAACGCGGGAGUGGGGGAGAGCCGACCGCACUGGCGGGAGAGGUGGGAGAGGAGGCCGGAGGGAGACGGGGAGAUGAGGAGGGCGAGUCGUCGUCAUCGCUGCCCAGUCCGCACCCGUUGUGCGGGGAGUAGGGGGCAAAGCCAGAGGAGGGCGGCCGCCCACACCCACAAGUCGUCGCGCCCCCGGUAAUGCGGCGCGCACGGAGUGACUUGGAGCUCGCCUGCCGCCCGCCCAUCGCCGCUCUCGCCCACAGCCCGGCGCCGUCUCCGCGUGGAGUUGUCCGGAGAAACACGUCUUGAGCUCGCGCGUCGCCUCUCCUGUCUUGCCCCGGCGAGCUCUGGGCCGGCCACCGCCCUUCACCGCCGGAGUCGCGACCACCGUCGCCUCGCCGGCUCGCCACGCCGAGCAACAGAUUGAAGAGAGAGACGAGAAAAGAGGGGACAUAGAGAAGAUGACAUGUCAUACUGACAUGUGGGGGCCCACGCUGAGUCAACCGCCACGUGGGACAAAACCGCCGAGGGACCUAUUGUGACCGGUUUUGUAAGUUGGGGACACCGGAUAUCCGGUUUUGUGGUUGAGGGACGAUUUUGUAUCUGGCUAAUAAGUUGAGGGACCUAGCGUGUACUUUUUCCAACUACUCAGUCCUAGUUUGAAUGGGCUGAAAUCCCGGCCCAUUUUGCAGAAAGGAAAAUGGUUUUAGCCCAUUCCGCCAAAAAAUUUGCGUUUGCCGGGAGUCGAACCCGGGUCUAUUGCUUGGAAGGCAAUUAUCCUAACCGUUGGACUACAAACGCUUUCGCUGAUAUUGCGAAUCGUAAUAUUUUUAAAUUUUAUAAUUACGGCGCGUUGCACAACAGUACAAGUCCUUCUCUAAGGUGAAACACCUGGUUGAUUUUUCCAAGCCCAAAUGCCAAACUACCGCUGACUUUUAUAUUAUCCUAGUUUUGGUCUUCGUUGAGGUCGUCAAGCGACUAAAGCAGACAUAAACAGAAGACAAGAAAAGAAAAAUAAACACUCCAGCAAAUAACCUUGUCAAUGAGGUAGGCAACCUAACUCAACAAUCAUCUCACGGUCUUCCAUGACAUCUUUUUUGUGGUUAAUCUAUACAUAAAACACAUACAGAAUCCUGCAUUGACGUUUUAAACAAAACAAUAUUGGUUGCUUCAGAAAAAGGCCCCUCAAAUGCAACUUCCUUGGGAGACAUCUUGCUUAUCAUCAGGACCAAAGCCACAAUGCAACUGACGAGGCAAUGGAAAAGUACAAGACAGUCUAGUUUACCAUUAGCAUUCACCAAGGAUGUUCCCAUUGUUACUACACUAAACCUCUUUGUUUUGCUUAGUAAUGGCUGCAUAAAAAAAAGGUAGCGCGCUUUGUGUUAUCUGCUUGAAAAGGUAGCUCAUCUGACUGAUGACCAACGAACAAACUAACCACAGUCAAAAAAGAAGAAAAAAAAGAGUCUUGGCUACACAAAUAUGCCAUGUAUCUUUGCUUCAUUUGUCCAUCACUCUACCACUAUAAUGUCAGAAGCGAUGUGAUAAAAGUUUAAAGAGGUUGGGCAGCUGCUAUCUCGGCUCACAUCCGUCAUGCUGAAUGAUCUUGUCCGAAGCUUGAAGCAAGUGAAUGCCACUACAGUGUUUUUAGUUGACAUGUUGGGUUCAGAGGGGGACAGGAUCCGGGAAAUGCAGCGAUCAUACUAAUGAGAUGGUCUAGUACGUGCUUAACUGUGUCUCAUCCGUUCAGUUAGUCCCUGACAGCGAACUACGAGCAACGCAAGAAAAAAAAGGAUUGGUUACUUCAGCGAAUCGAUAAAUCGAUAAAUGCUGGAAGCCUGGAACAGUUCGGAUUCUGAAGAGAAACUGACGAUAAGAUCUUUCACUUCACCGCGUCAGUUUCCUUCCCUGCCUUUUGCCAGCAUAAAGGAACAAUAGAAAAUGACUCAUCAAGCCUUGCAGAAUUGCAGGCUUGCAGCAUCUUCCAAGAUCAGGCAGGGAAUCUGGAAUCUGCAACCUGCUUUCCUUUGACCAGAAAUGCAGUAGCACAACACACUCGGUUACGGUUACAUUUAGGCUGUGUUUAGUUCAGCGCAAACUUUAGAUUUUGGUUAAAAUUGGAGAUGAUGUGACUGAAAAGUUGUGUGUGUAUGACAGGUUGAUGUGAUGGAAAAUGACUGAAGUUUGGAUCCUAACUUUGGAUCUAAACACAGCCUUAACAAGCUGCAGUUCAGCCUUCAGGAGCAUAUGGCAACGGAGUUCGUCAGAGAAAAGAAGGCCAUAUGCCGAUCGAUGAAGCGUGCAAUAAGUAUAUCUGCAUGUUGGGUGAAGAAAGCGGCCAAGUUAUUGAGAUCAUAACGCAUCGGCACUGUGCCCAGUGGUACUGCAAAAAAGAUCAUAACGCCGAGUCGACCCUACAACUGCAAUUGUGCAAGCUCUGAAUGAAUGAUCGAUCGAGUUCGCCAUCCUACAUCCACAGUGUUUUGGUUUUCCCAUCAUCAAUCGAGUUCAUGACGACCCAUCCUGCCCCCUCCUCAAAUCAUACUGCAGGGAAUAUGCUCAGGAAAAUCAUCAUCUUAUGCAUAAUGAGAAAUUACUUUCUUGAAUUGCAGAUGCCAUUCACAGCAUGAAAUUGCUUUCUCGAAUGGAUUUUUUUUUUGUACUUUUAUUUGACACGGAUGAGAUGAGCUAGUAUACACAGAGGAUGAGUGAUGAGUUCUCUGAGUAUCAAGAAUUCAUCAUCGAGUGGAGUAGUAGAAUACACUUGGGAUUGAUUCGUCCAUUCACGGUUACAAAAAAACAUGAGGCGAACAUGUGUGUUAGCUAAGGCCAUACGAGCAGUAGUAUAGUACUAGCGGUGAGCUGGUUCUUGUCGUCGUCAAGCUUUCUGCAGGCUCCAGAUGCCAUGGAAGAUGUUCCUGAGCUUGCUCCCGCCAAGCUUCUUCACGAUCUUCUUGGCGUCCGUCACGUUCGUCUCUGCUAGCCUCUCGAGAUUCCUGCCAUUUUCGGACCCAAUUUGAUGACCAUUAGUGUUUGAAAACGAGGAAUUUGGCGAGAAUUUGUUUGAGGAUUUGUUGGUUACCUGAGAUGCUCCGAUGACAUGAUCUUCCGGCGGCCGGAGGUGCUGUCGCUGAGGUGCAUCAGGGUGGAGAGCAAGAAGCGCUUCGCCGGCGAGAGCUUCUCGUCGUCGGGGCCAAGCAGCUGCAGUACCUGCGCCACGUUGCGGUCUUCCUGGACGAACCGCUUCCGGUUGCGGUGCACGGACACCAUGGCGCAGAGCGCCUCCGCCGCCAUGUCCCGCGCCUCGAGCGACUUGGCGGCGUGGAGGAUGCUCACGAGCUCCGGCAUGAACCCGGCGUCGCCCAUGGCCUUCUUGGUGUCCUCCGAGGCGUGGCAUAGCCGGUGCGCCGCCUUCAGGGCGCAGUGCUGCAGCGUGGCGUCGCCGCUGCGGAGGAAGACGAGGACGCGGUCGAGGAAGCCGGCGGCGACGAGCCGGGAUGUCAAGGGUGGGGAGGAGAGGCAGAGCGCGUCGAUGGCGCGGAGCGCGACCUCCCGCGCCUUGGAGGAGCGCGGGGAGGCCGGGUCGAGCACGCUGACCAGGGACUCGACGGCGCCUUCCUGGAGCACGGCCUCCCUGACGGAGCUGUCGCCGGAGGCGAUGGCGGCGAGGAGCUCCAUCGCCUGGAUUUGCGCCGCCUCGUCCGCGGCGCCCCGGCAGAGCGACACGAGCACCGGAGCCGCGCCGGCCUCGGCCACCAUGUACUUUCUGAUCUCGUCGACGCCGGCGAGGCUCCUCAGCACACGGCAAGCCGCGCACACGAGCUCGCCGCCGCUGGCGGUGUAGUCGGCGCAGACGUUGAGCAAUGCCGUGACGCCGCCGUGCGCGGCGACGGCCCACGCGUUGUCGGAGUUCUCGGUGAGCUUGCACAGCAACCGCGCCGCCCGCUCCUUCGCCGAGGGCCUGUCCCCGGCACUGUCGAGGACACGGAUCACCGGAGCGAUGACGCCGCCGACGACAAGGUCGCCUCUGUAAGCCUCAAACCCGGCGAUCACGGAGACGGCCUCCAGGACCUCCUCCUGGACGCAGGCGUCGGGGCACUCGAGCAGCCAGACGAGGACGCAGACGCCGUCGGCGACGUCGGACACGACGACGCGGACGCACUUCUCGUCGUCGUGCAGCACCUCGGCGAGCGCGGCGGCGGCCUCCCCCCGCAUCUCGGCGCCGCCCACCCUGAGCCUCGCGAACAGGUCCCGCACGUAGAACCGCACGUCGUCGCGGCUGGCGCCGGCGCAGGGCCUCGACACGACGAGCGCCCGCGCCCGCGUCAGCGCGCCCGACGCGUACACCUCGUCCACCCGCGCCACGAGCGCGUCGAGCGUGCCCGCCACGACGUCGAGGUCGCUCCGCAGCCGCAGCUUCCCUCCCCCGUAGUGCCUCCCCUGGCUCCUCGGCACCAGCUCCGACGCCUCCCUCGCCGUCUCCACCACCGCCCCAAGAACCCCCGCCAACGCCCCAUGCCCCUCGCCGCCUUCACCGCCGCCGGUGGCUAUGUCGGCGAGGCCGGCGUGGAGCCGGUUGAGCCUGUCCCUGAUGAGCUGCCACUUGUACGGGAAGAGCGAAGCGGCCAAGGAGGCAGACACCAAACCGGUAAUGGCGUCGAGCGCCGCCGUGACACUCCCCUGCUCAUCUCGCUCCGCCGCCGCCGCCGUCGCCGCCUCUUCUCCCAUGCCUCCGACCACCUCACCCGCUAAGCUCAACGACGCAUUCUUGCAAAUGCGCGAAAUGGGAGGGAAGAGGAAGAAGCGGCGGAGGUAUAAGUACGUGUGAUAGCUGUAACUGGCAAUGGUGGUGGUGGUGGGUUAAUGGAGGUGGGCGGUGGCGCCCACCGUCGUGGGGAGAUGCGCCAGCGUGCGAGUGGAGUGAGGACGAAGGAGGAGGAGGCUGACCUGGGGAUCGGCGAGGUUUGGUUCGGUGCGGGCGCCGGGCGCGGGAGAAGAAGGAAGCGCGCCACGAGGGAAUGAAACAGUGGGGUGGCGUGGCGGGACGCGCGCUGCGCUUGGCGUGGCUCGCCGCCUCGGGUACAGAUCGCGUGACACACCCGAAAAAAUGCUGCGCGUACGCAGAUUGUGUCGUGUGGUGCCAAAGCCAUGGGUGUUAUGAACGGACGGUGGUAAAAUGAUCUGAAGGAUUGAUUUUGGUUGUAGUACUGUGGUAGUACUAUAUACUCGCUCCGUUUCAAAAUGUUUGACACCGUUAACUUUUUAGCAUAUGUUUGACCAUUCAUCUUAUUCAAAAAAUUUAAGUAAUUAUUUUUUCUUUUCAUAUCAUUUGAUUCAUUGUUAAAUAUACUUUUAUGUAUACAUAUAGUUUUGCAUAUUUCAUAAUUUUUUUUAAUAAGACGAACGGUGAAACAUGUGCUAAAAAAAUCAACGGUGUCAAACAUUUUAAAACGGAGGGAGUACGUACUUGUUUGGUAAUUGGCAGGUGAAAAAGCACAAAAAUAGUUGUCUAUGUUAAUGUCACAACGCUAAUAUUCUGUCUUAGCGCCGAUCAGCACAGUAGCCUUGUUAUGGGGAGAUUUGUUUUUUAUAAAAAGACCGUGGUAUCAUACUUAUAUUUCUUAUAUACUCAUAACAUAUCUAAUACUCCCUCCGUCCUAUAAUAUAGCAAUCUAAGAUGAGAUUUUAUUCUAGGACUAUGAAUCUGGACAUGAGGCAUGUCAGAUUCGUAGUUCUAGGAUAGGUAUAAUCACAUCCUAUAGUCCUAGGAUCUCGUGCUAUACAUUAUGGGACGGAGGGAGUAUAUAUUCUAUUUGCCUUGUAACGUAUAGUUUUUAUUGCAUAACAAAUGAUUGAUCAAUUUACUAUGAAGGCAAUAUUAGCAGUAUGAAAAGUUAAGUAUUUUACUUUACUUUUGUUAAUUUCAAGCUCCCCAACUUUAUCAAAAUAGUCAACAUUCUCCGGAUGAACAGGUUUUUUUGCCACCAAUUUUACCACGCUAUGUGAUAAAUAUGUUUAUUUGCUAUAUACCAUGGCUUAAAGAUAGUUUCAUGAUACAUGUAAAGUUAAAUGUGUAAUUUAAAUUUAAAGUAUCAUGGCUUAUAGUCUAUAGUUUUAUGAUAGUUUUGUCAAGAUAUUUAUAGUUUUUUCUUAAAAUAAAUUACUCUAAGUCUUCAUCUCACAUUUGCAUCUAUCUACCUUUCUUUGGCAAAAAAAGAGAGAAAGAAAUGGGUGUACACACAUGUACUGUGUUAGGUCCCUAGUACGUUGUCCCAAACUUUUUUUAUCCAAUACAGGUCAUUUACUCAUCUUGCUUGUGUACAUAGUACUCUAAGUUACUUUACCCCCACUAACUUUAAUUAACAAGAGUCGUUUAUAUUUCAGAGUUCGAAUUUGAAUUCUAGCAUGGUGUAUACAUUUCAACAUGCUACAAUGCUAAGAGGUUUCAAGUUUAAUUUGAAUUCCAACUUAGAAAUCUAAACACGGAAAAUUAUUAUAGCCACCAAUCGUAUGUUGUUCUAAGGCCUGAGCGAGCCCAUGCUCACGGAUAAUUGGAAGAGUAUGUUGAAGUGUGAAUUAUUAUCUUUUAUCGUCAGUCAAAACAUGUAAAAAUGAAAUAGACAUACAAAUAAACUUUAAAUGAUAAAUUUGAAGACUCCUGACCCUACGGCUGUGCUGAGAGAGUUACGGGGAACCAAGGCCCAACUAAUCCUUUGCUUCAAAGAUCUAGUGCAAUAACACCUGCAGGAAUACAAUGCUGGAGAUACCUUAAAUUUGUACUUAACCUUUGCUUAAAAACUUGAAUUAAUCCGAUCUAGGACAUGGCUUCUCCAAUGAGCACUAGUAGCAAGUACGAAUGCAAAUUCAGCCAAACAAUGACAUUUUUUUUUGAGGGACCGUCAUUAUUAUGGUAUGGUAUUUGACAUAAAACCCGACUAAAAAUAUUCGAAUUUUGAACCAUCGAAUAAUUUAAAGAUUCGUGCAAUACACAUUAAACCUAAGCCUACCCCUCCUCGCUUCAGCUAUCCAGCAUGGCCAUGAUGAAUUGGGAUCGAGUGCUACUUGCUAGAUACUCUCGGCUGCCGUCACCACCGCCCCACCAUGCCGCCUCUCGGUUGGCCAGAGCCUGGAGGGUAUCAACGGUGCUAGUGAGCACCCUUCCCCCUCCCCCAUCCUCCCUUCCUCAAGACAUGUGAAUCCCCAUUACCCGAUCCGCCUCCUCAUUACAAGUUUUGCUUUGCCUCACCACCAACGGCGCCCUGCCGCCCUUUUACAUCCCUGAGGCUUCGGCACCAUCGCCGACGCCUUGCCACCCGCCCAUAUCCAUCACCCGCCGCUGGGCCGUCGCCUCCCACGGUCAUCGCUCUAAGCCUAGCCCCUAUCUCCCUCCCUCACCCCAACCCGAGACCCUAAACCCUAACUCAUCGUCAGAAUUGGAGGAGUUGCAGAGGUCGCCGAUGCACAAAACGUGAAGCAAUCAUAAGGUCAGAAAUUUACAAGAUUUUCUGUAAAAUGCUAUUUAGCAAUUCCUUUUUUAAUAGAUAAACGACGAGACAAUGGAGAAAGCUGGCGAUAGAGAAAACUCUUCACAUGAGCCGAACCUACUGUAAGAUCCACUUGUAAGUAAUAGUUCAGUUGAUUUAUUUUAGUCAAGUGAUGUAUAAUAACACAAUCCACCCCCUACAAUCAUUCUCCCAUGUGUCAACAAACAACUAAAAAAAACCCAAACCCUGCAUGCAAGAUCACGGGAAAAAGCGUAACAUCAUUACAAUUUACAGCUUGGAUGUAGUAAUUUCAGAUGCAGCUAGCAAGUAGGGCACAGGUUCAUCCAGUUUACUCACCACCGAAUGGGCAUCAUGGCAAAGGCGAUCAAAUAGUGUCACAGGUCAACAGGAGCACAGCCCAGGCCUCAGUCACAGGAAUCAUGAGCCACUGAGCAAGCAUGCAAAUGUGCACUGAAAAUCUGAAACUUCUGAAGCCUGAAGCUGCAUGCCACUCGAUGCCAAAGAGGCCAAGUGACUGGAGGAUUCAUCGGUGAGCUUGCAAACAUAUAUUCUAGAACAACAUUUCAUAUCAAUCUCCUCAUCUCGGCGUUGGGAAUCCAUCAGGGUGGUAGCUUAGCUUGUCCUUUUUGGCGCCCAUGUGAGCUCUUCAUUUGGCUGCACCUCCCAUGGGGGCUAGCUGUGCUGUCUCUCACGAGAGAAGCUAACUUUAGUAUACUUUAGGUAGCAUGGAUAGGGUGGAUGUGAAGGAAGAAAGAGAGUAGAAGAAGAAAAGAUGAACAAAAAUUUGCUCAUUUGCAUGGCAAAGAUCACACGAAGCACACAGGAGGCUUGCCCUUGCUGAGAAGAAAAAGGCCCUUUCUUUUUCUUCUUUCUGAAGAUCUGAAGAAUUUUCAGUCAUGUGAGGCAAAUAACUAGUAGCUAGCCAAUUGGUUUCAGUUCAGUGUUCAUGCAUCAUGCAUGCCCAGGUCACUGUGAUUUCUGAAGCUGUAGCGAACUGAAGAUCAAAACAUUCCAUCAGAGAGCAGAAAUGAGUCCAGCUCGUCAUGAUUUUGCACUGUCACAGUCGAUUCUUCUUGUUGGAUUCUAUGAGCCCAUACAAGCUGGGGUUCUCCCCUCUUCCACAUGACUGCAACUGUAGACAUGCAGAAUAUUAGUGAUAAAAUCAAUAAUUGUUUCUUCCAAUUGCAAUUGUAGUGGUCACGUAUGCUUGAAAUGAUAUACUAGUACUGUUCUGCCCUUUAGAAGGAUAAGAGGCCAUAUCUCCAUAUAGAAAAAUAAAUCAAGUUCAGAAUGGGACCACUGGAAAUUGGCCAGGAAACAGAAGACCAUCAAAUUCUAGCCGACACUGUUUUAUCUUCAGAAUCUUGGAUUAAUACUUCUACAAAUACGUAGUACUACCAUUACAUGGUUUGGACAAAUGGACAAGGCAGUGUAAGGUGGAGUGGAAAAGAGAGUGAUUUACUUGCAACACGUGAUUGCUGAAUUUACUCUUCAAUUCUCAUCAUAGCUAGUGGCUUACAAAGUGCACACCUAAAGUUUUUUGGUCCCAAGAAAAGUAGUUGCAUGUGACAAAGUACCAAUGUCGCUAGUAAAUUAAUGUUUAGGAAGAAGAAAAGAAGAUCAAGAAAAAGAAAAAGGCUAAGUCAUACUAGAAUGCAGUAUCAAAAGUUUGUUCAUGAACAAGAAAAGGCUCCACUUUCUUGAGAAGAAUAAAGUUUGUAAGCCAAUAUCUCCUGCUGAAUUGCUGGAAUGCAUUGACUUGAAUUGACAUGGAUCAUCGGAAAAGAUUUUGGCCUCUAAUUGUCAAACCUAGGGCCUGCUUCUGUAGGUGCUUUGAGUGGCUCAAUGCUUUUGUCACAACACUGCUAGAAAUGUCUAAAGAUGUAAUGCAGUUAAUGCUGAAACAACCAUGAUUAGAAAGGACAAACUUUGACAGUUGAUGCCAUCCAAUGGUCCCUAUUAAUUACUCAAGAAUAGGUUAAGAAAAAGGCAUGUAAUCCAAAGUAACACAAGGGUGUUACUCAAAUCUGAUCCUUGCAUUGCUUUUACCAUCUUUAGUAAGAUUGUGUGGUAGCUGCCUUUCACUAUGAAAAGCCAAGAGAGACAGAUCGACAUAGUUGGGCCAGUACUGCUGAAGUUUAGCAAAAACAUUAUUGGCAAACUUAUGGAGAGUGUUUGUUAGCUUCAUUUAACCAACUGAAAGCAAACAGCCACCAACCAUUGAUCCAUCAUGCAUUCAUACAUACUUGAGUUGUCGCAGAUUGUCCCUGGCUGCUUCAUGAUCCAAUGAACCAUGCGUCUUUCGAACCAAUGGAUUAUGAACCAUCUUUAGUGUUCAUUAGCAGUUUAGCACUCUAUCCAACUUUUCAUUAGUGUUGCUAGUUCAAGUUAAGGAUCGGAGACUUGUGCCUUAUCGAGGAUUGUCAAGCGAGUACUACUACAGGUAGAAAUGGUAGUAGAAUUGAUCGGAAUUCACAAGGGUCCAUUUACUACUAGUAAUUGAGUUGGCUGUUUAUAUAUCAUCAAUCAGAGUAAAGAGAAAAAAAAGAGACCGCUAUAAAAGACACGAAUAUUAGGGAAGGACUUAAUAUCAAAUAAUUAGAAGGGGUGAGGCUUUGAACCCAGAUCAUCUAGCACACCACCUUGUAGAGUUAGCCAGAAGACCCCUUGACGUUUCUCAAAACAAAGAAAAAAGAGACCGCUAUAGCAAUGUCAUUCCAUCCGGACAUGAUGAUCCUAUAUACGUGUCAUAUCUGGUACUCAUCGAUGCCAGAUCUGGUACUUGUUAGUACCAAGCAGAUCAAUCGGUACCAACUGAUACCCAUUGGUGUCAGACCUGAGUUAAGAGGGGGAGAGGAGAUAGGGCAGCUUGAGGUCCACCACCUCGGCACGUAGAAGGACCUCUUCGUGACAUCUGCUCCCAUACCACCGUCACUUGUGCCGUUCCUGGUGCGAACAAGCUCGUUAUCGGGGAGGAGUGUUGGCUGCGCGCCUCGCGCAGUUACGCAUACCACGCGUGGUCACAGGGACUAGCUCCAUCCUUUAGUGUUUUCCAAAAAUAAAAGAUCUAUAUUAUUUCUUCACAUGAGUAUUAAUAUUUUUUUAGAAGCUCUAACUAGCAUAUCUUAUAUUGAUGAAGUCGCCAUAGGUGUCUUGAUGUCAAUGGGUACAUUAUCUUCUUUGAAAGAAUAAUUAGCCUUAAAUAUAAAAUAUAAGCACCCAUGCAUGUCAGCUUAGGACUUGAAUCCGGAUGAGUAGGUUCUAUCACAAGGAAGUGAAGGAAUCUAAUCAAUUGAGUUACGCUCGGUUCAUGGGUUGUUUAUUGCUAUAUAGUUGUUUCAAACAUAUUGUUGUACAAUUCUAUAACAAUAACUACCUCCAUUAUAAAAUAAGUUUACUUUUGUAUAUGAAGUAACUGAGUUACUAUAAUUUAUAAUAAAUCAAUAUAAUGCGGCUAUGAGUGCUGCCACAAUCAACCAUGUUGAUAUUUUUCUUUUCCUCCAAUUAACAUGAUAAUUUCUAAAGAUUUUCUUAUCUGUUGCUAAAUACGUAGAUAAUACUGUAAUACGUAGAUAAAUGUCAAUAACUUUUUUAAUUCAGAUUGCUUGUUUAGCUAUUACUUUAUUGCAGUUGAAAAAAAGAUAAUAUUCUUGGUGACAACAUGCCAGAUCAUGAAGCAAGAUCAUGGAAUAGAAUGAAUAAUCGAGAUCCGAAAUUGAUGAAACCUAGGCCACACUGUUCUUAGAACAAUAUUAAUUGUGCACAGGAUCUUUGGGGUCCAAGUGAUGCUACCGUGAACUAUAAGCAGGGUUAUAUAAGUUUUAAAUAAACUGUAGUGGGCUGUUUUGAUGAUUUCUUCACAGCCAAUAAACAGCCCAAGGAGUUCAAUCAAGUACCUGGUACAUUUGGCAAUAGAAAAGUGAUUAACUUGUUGCAUCAAGGCCAUUUCACAUGCUCUGCUUCAAUCCCAACACAAGAUCGGUAUGCACUCAAGAAAGCGAGGCAGACGAAUGGAUGAAGCCAAGAAUAUUUUUUAGGUUUGAGAGUACAAAUCAUCUAGCAGAAAACAUUAGACAGAAAAAUUGGAAAUGCCUUACAAUGUCCUGAUGCAAUUGCUUGUUCAGACAAAAACAAAGAAAGAUACACAUGAGACAAUUCUGAAUUCAAGUGCACAUGCAUAGAGAGAAUCACAACUCAAAACACAUACUACCUCCGUCUCUUGUCCAGAACCAUUCCCACAAGUCGUUUUUUUUUUAACGACGGAGAUAAAUAAGAAUAUAUAUACAUGCUACAAUUUUGGAGGUGAAUAGUGAAUUUCCAUUCCUUAAGGGAUAUCUCUUCAUUUUGCACCUGUUAUUUAAACUAGAAUGGUAGCCCGCGCACAUGCGCGGGCACCUUCUUAUAUAAUGUGAGAAAAAUUUUAUUACGAAUAUUUUUGUGCGUGUGGAAACUAAAAUUAAACUUAUUUUGUGUGCUUUGGACACUGGUUAUUCUUUUUAUAAUUAUCCUUGCUAUAUAUAAAUUCUAAAAUAAAAUUACUUGAGAUCAUGCGGUUUUGAAUUGAUGAGAAAAUAUUGUGUCGAAACAUUGGAGGUGAUUUCUAUGAGAAAAUUUAGGGUAUUUUAACUCGUCAGAAGGAUAUCUUACAACCCCAAAAGAAAUCGAAUAAUAUUUUUUUGUUUGAUUGUAUUUUAAAAUUAUAUAUAUUUUUUUCAUUCUCACGGUCCUUGUAAAAUGUUUGAAUUUUUUUAUUAAAUAUGGGUUUUAAAUCCAGCGACAUUUGUUCAAUUUUCAAUUUAUUUUAUGUCCAUUUUUAUUUUUUAUUUUGGAUACUUUCAUUCUAUGAAUUAUCCUUGAAAUGAUUUGAUCUUUCCAAUUUGGGACGAAAAUAUUAGUGCAUAUAACUUGGCAUGGGGGUAAAGACAUACGUUCUAAAUUUUCUCUCAUGAAAUAUUGAAGUAAUGGUCAUAGUAUCUUUAGCUGAUCAAAGUGGAUUGUCUUAUAACAAACAUAUGUUUCUAGAUUGUUCUACGUCAAAACUUUACAAUGUACUGCAGCAAGUUUAACAAAAAAAUAAAAAAAAUGGACAUGGUCUUUAAUUCCUAUAAGGAACUGACUUGAUUUAUUGCUAAGGCCACUGCAAGGUUGUUCCGCUGUUAAGAUUUCUAGGUACAACCCACAUGCUAUGUUCAACCAACCACACUUUCCAACAUGUUGUCUAUAUUGCUAGAUAAAUACCUGCUAUGAUUAGUGACUUCAUAGAUCAUAUGUGUAAUUCGGACACUAUGAUCAUCUCUCUUAAAAGUAUUUAUUUAUCUCCUAAAAAGACUAUUUUAAAAGUAUCAAGGUCAAUUUGUAUAGGUUCGUAGCCUUCAUAUGCAUGUUAAGAGAAAUUAAUUAAGUUGGUACAAAGUGGUUAGAUGCCUAACGGGAUAUAAGUAAUAGAUGGAGGUCCAUUUGUGUUUUUUUGGCCCAUAUGGAUAAUUUUAAUUGUCAAGGAGAUAAAAAUAGAGAGAAGAAUGGUGCACGUUGUACACAGGUAGGGAGGGAGGUUUGGGACGUUUUCUAAAUAAUUAAUGUAACAACCUAAAAUAAUGUGUCAGAUGUUUAUGUCGAAACCGAUGGUUGGAUGUUUUGUUUUCUUAAGAGCAUAUAGAAGAUGUGUAAUGAACUUUUAACACCGUAUGCUGAAAAGGAGGGAGCGAAGGAGGUUUAGGGUGUUCUUUUUAAAAAAAUAUAUCUAAUGACCUAAAAUUAUGUGUCCAUCGAUUUAUGUCAAAUUCGAUUGUUGGAAUAUUUUUUUCUCCGAAAUUUCUAAGAUUUUUCUUUAAUUUAAGAACGUCAUAUAGCAGAUUAGAAGCAUUUAUAAGAUGUUUGAUAAAUUUUAACACCGCAUGAGGAUGGGAGGGAGGGAGGAAGGUUUGGGUUGUCUUCUUAUUAGAAAAUUAACAAAUAGAUACAGAAUGCUUUGUGUGUUUUUAGGAUUUUCUAGUAUUUUCUUUAAUUUAGUAGUACCAUGCAGCAGCUUAGUAGCAUUUGUAGUAUGUUUAGAGUGACAAAGCGAGAGUUGCUAGACCUAAUCGGUGGAGCUCUAUUUGUGGUUUUCUUAAUGUAAAAAUAAUUUUGAUUUUAAUUUGUCAUGAAGAUAGCUUGUUGGGACCUUCGUGAUGGGGAGGAUCCGGAUGUGUGCUUUUUUUUUUAGAAAAAAAAAAUCUAACCUUCUAAAAUAAAAUAACAGAUCACUGAUUUAAAUAAAAAAACGAUGGUCAAAUUAGAGUGCCACUUGAUAACUUAGGAGCGUUUGUAAGGUGCCACUUGGUGGCUUAGGAGUAUUUAUAGGAUAUUUAAUGAACUUUUAGUAUAUAAUAGUCUUUUUUUGAAAUUUCUAAGAUUUUAUUUAAUUUAAGUAUGUUAAAUAUAGUAGUUAAAGGUGUUUAUAAAAUGUGUAAUGGUUUUUAACACUGCAAGGGGGUGGAGAGAGAGGUUUGGGAUUUUUUAUUAAAAAAAUCUAACAACCUAAAUCCAUCAAUUUAAGUAGAAAUUGGAUGUUGGCUUCUUUGUAUUUUUUAAGAUUUUUUAAUACUUUCUCUAAUUUAAUAGCACCACGUAGCGAUUUAAAAGCGUUCGUAGGAUAUUUAAAGUGACGGAGGGAGGGCUGCUAGACCUAGUAGUUGGUCUAAUUGUAAUUUUUUUUGCCUAUAAGAAUAAUUUUGAUUUUAGUUUCUCAUAAAAUAGAAAAUAACAAAGGAAAGACAGAAGGGAAGUACGUACAGUACAGUAGAUACGUACGUUUGUACGUUGGUACCGUAUAUGUUGGUUUCAGAUGUUUUUUUUUACAAAAUAGAUCUAACCAUCCAAACAAUAGAUGGUUGGAUUUUUAUUUAUUAGAGUGCCACUUGACAACUUGAGAGCGUUUAUAGGGUGCCACUUGGCGGUAUGAGAGUGUUUAUAGGAAGUUUAAUGGACUUUUAGUAUGUAAUAGAUAGUCUAAAAAAUCUAAAAAGAAUAAUAAGAUGGACCAAUAUAUAACAUAAAUUCAAUAUAUACAAGUUAUACGAAAACAAAUACAUGCUUAUUUUUUAUAAUUUAUAAAUAUCAAAUUUGAACUUGUUUGUUGUGAAGCGAUAUAUUACAUAUUAAUCUACUCCCUCCGUAAAAAAAAAAGACAAACCCUGGUUUCCAUGCCCAACGUUUGACCGUCCGUCUUAUUUAAAAAAAUUGUGAAAAAAAAUUUAAAAGACAAGUCACGCAUAAAAUAUUAAUCAUAUUUUAUCAUCUAACAACAAUGAAAAUACGAAUUAUAAAAAAAUUUCAUAUAAGACGGACAGUCAAAGUUGAAUACAGAAAUCCAGGGUUUGCCUUUUUUUUUUUUUUGACGGAGGGAGUAUGUUGUAAAAAUAAUUCAUAUUUUUUAUUUUACUUUAUUUUAUUUUAUAGCAUGGAAAAACAAGAGUAUUUUCUCUUUAAGAGAUGGAAUUAUUUCCCCUUCAACUUUCGUAAGAAUCCUUCAUCCUUGUAUCUGACGCAACCCAACAUUUUGCAAAGAAAGGGCAGAUCCUCUUUCCACGUGAAUUGUAGUUGAUGCGAUGAAAAGCUGAAAAUUCGAAGGGGAAAUAACUCCCAUCUUCCUCAAAGGGAAUUCAGUUUGGAUGCUGCUAAAAAGUUGUCGAGGAUUUGUUCUGAAAAUGACAUCCUGCCACGGCAUGAUAAUUUGGCCGUAAUAUGCAAGAAGUACACCAUAUCUGACUCCGCCAUGAACGAUCAAGCGAUCAACUCCAGUUUCUGGUAGCACUUCCUCUGAGCUUUGAGACACACUAUGGCCUGGUUUAGUUAUCAACUUUUUUUUUCAAACUUCUAACUUUUUCAUCACAUCAAAACUUUUCUACACACAUAAACUUUCAAUUUUAGUCAAACUUCUAAUUUUAGCGUGGAACUAAAUACAGCCUAAGUCUUUGUUUAGUUCCACGCCAAAAUUGAAAGUUUGAUGAAAUUGGAACGAUGUGGCGGAAAAAUUAGAAGUUUAUAUGUGUAGAAAAGUUUAAUGUGAUGGAAAAGUUAAAAGUUUAAAGAUAAAAGUUAGGAACUAAGAAAAGACCUAACACAGUGUUCAGGAUAGACCCAUGCUAAAAUUAGGGGGUGUUUGGGCGGCUAUACAUAAGUCCCUCCCAUAAGACUUAUGAUCCUCUCUCCCAAACACCCCCUGUUCUAGACUUCAGACUUGUCAGUGCAGAACCGCGACAAAAAAUGCAGUAAAAGCAAACGAGACAAAACUGUCGGCUGUGCAAAGCUGACAGCGUCAGCCGCUCGACGACGCGGCGCACGAUAUUCACACCGGGCCACCGCCGCUGGCCACCAACGCCGGUGCGCCACCGUGCUGUACAGCCGAAGCCGACGACGACGCUUCUGCAGCUCAUCACUGCACCGUGCUCUGCUCUUCUCCCGUGUGAUGGAAAUGCGAACCGAAGAUUCUGAACCCCGUGGCAUUGAAGAGUCUGCUGGAAAUAGGUGCAGAUAUUCAGACAUGGCCUCUAAAAUCUGUCAUACAAAACCUUUCAAAUAAAAAGAACGAAAAACUGUAAUAUAACCAGAGUGACUGACAGUCUCAUACAGUACAAUUCAGGGGUAGAAUAAUACAGGCUCAAGGAUGAUAAAUUCAGUCAUCAGUACAGUACUAGAUUGGAAACUAAACUUUUGGUAAAGUAGUACGUGGCCGCCUGGGCGGGCGCGACCCUCUAGGAUGAGCACGCGGAUGCCGAAGCGGAGCAGCUGGCAGGAGGUGCGGCGAGGCUGGCGCCGACGACGAGCACGGAUGCGGCGAGGCGCUGCAGCGCAUUGGGGGAGAGAGAGAAGGGAGAGAGGCAGGAGGAAGAAGGAAGGAGACAGGGGAGGUCCCAUAUGUCAGUAGGCUUAAUUUUUUAUUGUGUGAAUGACUAAUGGGUCCCACAUAUUUUUUUAAUUCUAAUACCACGUAAUUGCCACGUGGAACAAAGACUCAGUCAAUAUCGCUAUGUAGGCGCCACGUCAGCAAAACAACCCUCCAAAACCGCUGAGGGAGUCAAAUUGCACCGGUUUUAACAGUUUAGGGGUCAAGAUAUCUGGUUUUGCGGUUUAGGGUUAUGAAUUAGAUUCGGGUCACAUUUAAGAGAGUCAAAGUGAACUUAUUCCUUAAUGUAGUAGUAGCAUCCAACACCAAAAAUGGGCUGAAUGCCUGAACCCACCAACCGAGGCAAAACAUCUCAUGGGCCAAAACCUGACAUGGAGGCCCAAUCUCCGAAUCAGGCGAAGCAGUUCGGUGGACGGUGGACCUAACCACGGACCACCCAACCUCCAACCGGGGCCAAGCUGCAAGCUCACUGCCAUGUUCCAAUCUCACUUUUUCCAUUCUCUUUUUCUGCACAGAUCAUUGUGAAAGUCUAUAAUGCAUGUACUCCUACUCCCUCCGAUCCACACUAUAAGAUAUUUUGAUCCCUUCAUCCCUCAUCUAAAUUUAUUAACAUCUGUAUAAAUUUAAACAUAUAUACAAAGCAUAUAUAUGUAUCCAUGCAUAAAUAUAUUCAGAAAAAAAAACAUCUUAUAAUAUAAAAGAGAGGAAGUACUCGACAAGAGGACGCUGUUUAUGCAGUCAGUGACAAGAAUCCAGUUAGGUGUGACACAGGAUAUGCGCAGCUGCUGUACCUACGAAAUUCUAUGCGGAUAUGCUGCCAAAAGAAAUAUCUGAAUUUUUGGAUGCCGUCGAGAUCAAGGGUCGCUGAAUCGAUGCAGUGCAUGCUCAUGUGCGGCUUGACAGGGACGGCGCUUGAUCUUUAGCUGUCGGUUCGGUAUGCUUGAGCUUCAGAUUCUUCCACAAAAACAGCGCAUCAAAGCAAUGCAUCCUGUGCUAGGUUGUGAGGAUGCUAGAUACAACGAAAGAGAAAGACCUGUUUGACUCAAAUUUUACUUCGAAUUCACCACAGAAAUGACAGAAAGCAGAAACUUCAAGUUCACCGCAGAACGACAGAAAGCUGAAACUAUGCGAAAUGGCAAUAUUUUACUUCCUCAGUCCUAAAAUAUAGCCAUUUUUAAGGUUGACAAAAGUAAGUAAGAAUGAUUGGAGAAAUUAUGUGACUGGUUGAAAAGAGAAAGUAGGUGAAGAAGAAUGGUUGUGAUUGGUUAAGAGAAGAAGGUAGGUGAAGAAAUAGCUUUAUUUUGAGACAAGACACUGUGCUAGAAAUAGCUAUAUUUUAAAAUGAAGGUAGUACAGCAGUAUUAAGUAGAAGCCAAAAAUAAACUGAAAAACAAAAAUUACUAUGCAACCAACUGCUUGUCUGCUUUUGUGCCUGUUUGGAGAGCUUCUGGUAGAAGCAAAUUCUUUCAUAAUCAAAAGCUUCUCUAAUCAGGCAAUUAGUGCAGCUAGAUUCUAAGAAGCUACAGAUACAAUCUAGAAAAUGAACCUAGAAUUCAGAAGCCGAAUUCCCAUCAGCUGCUUCUCGAGCUGGAUUCUGCAGAAGGGGCAUGCACAUACUCCUGCUAGUAGGUCGAUGACUGUGUAGCAUUGGGUUAUGAAGUCUGAACAAAUGUGGCAAGCCAACUUCCACGCCAAUACAUCCACCUACCAAGUAGGCUACCACAAAUGCAAUCAGUCACGAAUAAUUUCUGGGGCUCUUUUUCUCCAGAUGGGAUCGACGCAGCAUCAUCAAGACUCCGAACAAUUGCAAAAUCAGUCUAUAAAUUUGCUGCAGACAUUACAACUUUCUCAGAGAAAAAGGGAUUCCAAUCUUGUAAUGUUAAGUGGGACUCAAAGAUUGCAUCAUGAAAAAAAAAAUGGGUCACAGUGCUUGGUUUCACAGAUAAAAUGGGGGACAAAUGCAAUCAUCAAGACUUGAUUUCAAGUGACGAACAUAGCACAAGAAGUACUUACUGAAGUAGGAUCUGAAUUCUGAAGUUAUCAUAAUCUCAGAUGAACCAAACAAACAUUUUUUUUCUUCCCACUCUCAGUAUCUCGCCAUCCUAUAUGUACAUUGCAGCAAUCCAGUAAUUCAAGCCGUCUAAUUAACUUCAAGAACUCCAAUUCACACGCCGAAUCAGCACACUUUUUUUAAUUUGUUUGUCAGAAAUCAAAUUACCAAACCCAAAGGACCAAGAAAUCCCCAAGGAAAAAAAAAGAGAAGAAGACCUGAUAAUAAGAUUGUCCGGGCAAAAUAGGUAAGCAAUCCAUCAUCACCGGCACUUGGAGAUGUCGAUCUCGAUGAGGUUGUCCUCCUCCAGCUCGAUCUCGAUCAUCCCGUCGCCGUCGCGGUAGUCGUCGACGUCGUCGUCGCUGCCGCUGUAGCUGUCCGAGUCGGAGUCGGAGGUCCACGUGAGGCCCAUCUCCUCCGGCCCCCACUCCGCCUCGAACUCCUCGUGGAUCACCUCCAGCGCGCGCCCUUUCGCCGCCCACGACGACGCGAACUCCGUCUCCACGAACACGCUCGGGAGCUCGGGCGGCGUCGGCGUCGGCGCCGUCGGCGGCGGUGGGGGAGGAGGAGUAUCGGCGGCCUCCGGGACGGCUCGCUCGGGCGGAGGAGGAGGAGGAGGAGGAGGAGGGGUGGCCUCCGCGGGGGGAGGCGGCGGGGAGCCGAGGCGGAGGAGGGAGAGGAGGACGAGGAGGGAGGAGAGGGAGGCGGGGGAGAGGAGGAGCGGGAGGAGCGGCCGCGGGAGAUAGAGGAAGGCGAGGAGGGAGGCGGCGGCGGCGGCCGCGAGGAGCGGGUGGUGCUGCCGCUGCUCGCCGCCGGCGAGGUCCUGCGGCGGCGGAGGGGGAGACGAGGAGGAGGAGGAGGAGGUGGUGGUGGCCAUUUAUGGCGGGAGAAGUGGGGCAGUUAAAGCCACCCCCCGCCAAGCCGGGUUUUUAUAUAGAAAUCAUAGAGAAGAACGGAAGAAGAGAGAAUCAGACAAGCCACACGCAAUGGAGUAGACCAGGAGUACUCACAAGAAGCUGAUACGGUGAGUACUCAUUUUGUUGCAAUCUAUAGAAAGUGACAAUUCACUCAUCAAUUUUAGAGUUCUAGUCUAAAAUAUAAAAACUCCUGUUAUAUAGUAUAAAAAUAUAUCAUCUGAUAUUAGAUUCUUAUAUUUUUUGAUGAAAGGAGUAGUUAGGUCAUUCAUCUAUAGUAUAGUAUACUAAACUUAGUGCAUAUCAUAGUAUAACUAAUCUAAACAAGAGAUGUAUCUAAUUUGUUAAUAACUUCUAUAUUAUCGUGCGAAGGGGUACUAACCAGGGUUCACCAAACCGUUUUGGGUGAAAUUACCGUCACCACAUGGUAUGGUGAUUAUCGCGGUAACCACACUGUUAUCGUGGUUUCAGCAACUGAGAAGAUUAUCGCACGUAGUAACCAUACGAUUUUGCAAACCUUGAUACUAACUAGCCACUGUAGUAUUAGAACUCUUUACUUCCCAGUUCAUUGUACUUUUCUCUCUCCUGUGAAGAGUGACCAUGUGAGAUGCCUUGCGAUCAAGCAUUUUCCAUCAUCCGAGGCAGUAAUUACCCCCCUUGAAUAUCACGGACCAAUGUCAAAGAGCCUCAAAGACAACAGGUCAAACGGCGUGGGCAGGGCAGGCAGGGAGCUCGAUGGCCGUACUAGCCGGCGUGCGGCGCGCGGCCACAGGAAAACGGAGCACCGGCCGGCAAAAUCGCCCGGUACGAAAGGCUGCACCGCCGGUUGCGUUGCGCGCGCGGAAAAGCGAAAAAAAAAAAACGGGGCAAAGCAGCGGGUGGGCGAGGCACAGAGGCAGGGGGGGUCCGAAUCCGCUGCAAUUGCAAGAUUAGCUCUUCCUUCUUCUGCCAUGCAUGUUCGUGUGUUGGGGUAGGCAUGGCAUGCUACCGUCUCCUUUGAGUCAUUUCUUGCUUUCCUCGCUUGCUUUUCCUAGCGUCUAGGGGAUCUCUCGGUCCCAAUGAGAGAUUAAUAUAUAGUAUAGCCCACUACUAACUUCAAAUCAUCUAUAGCCAAUGUAAUAACCAAUUCAUACAAUAGUUACUUAUUAUACUAUUAAUACCUGGUCCCACCUGUCAUACACACAUUACGUCUUAGAGUCUGUACUGUAGCUGGUUACAGAUCUGUAACCGAUUACAGAUCUGUAGCCCGCUGUUUUUAUCUCUCUUCAAAAUAUGUUUAUAGCUAGCUUAUAGCCUGCUAUUGUACCUGCUAGGUUAGGGUGACAGUGACAUGGCUAUAUAGUGCUACACACACUUGCCCACAUUUUAAUUUUUUUUCCCCCGAACAAACCAGGAUGGUCACACACUCACACACACACGCCACUUGAAGCUGGUUGCAUGUGUAUUUUUCAUGUAUCACACGCUGCACAACUUGUUAUGGAAUUGAGGUGCUGAGCUGUUUGUUGUUACUCUGGCCCAAACUAUACCUAAGAUCUUAGCUCUUCCUUCGACAGAAGAUUAGGUUCCUGAUUCUUGUAUGUAGCCGCAGCCUACAGUGAGGGGGUUUAUUGUGCAUUGGAGUUUGCAGGAAAAUGGAAGCUUUCGAGUGAAUUCACGCCGUACCUGCGAUCUAGGUUUCUGCUGCCGAUUUUUUGAAGACAGGAAGAUCCCUUGUGCUUGGGAAGUUAGGAUACUCUGCUCCUUGAGUUUACACUAGAGAUAAUUCUUCGUUCUAUGCCACUGACAGUAUAGAUUCUAGAAUAUACCCCUCACAGAGGUCAGUUCUAUAAUAUAUAAUCGGACACCUGAUUUUCUUCCUUACACGCCGAUGUCGCUAGUCAAUAUUUAGUCAAAUUCUGUUUAAGAGCCGGAAAAUAUCCAUUUUACAUUAAGGGUGUACUUAGUUUCACGCUAAAAUUGAAAGUUUGAUUAAAAUUGAAAGUUUGAAGAAAAAAGUUAGAAGUUUAUGUGUGUAGGAAAGUUUUGAUGUGAUAGAAAAGUUAGAAGUUUAAAGAAAAAGUUGGGAACUAAACAAGGGCUGACACCGAACUGCACGAAGUUUUGCUUUUCUUGUCGAAUCGUAUACAAAUUCUUUAAACUUGAGAUCAUUUUACCGGUACCAGUUAGAGUUACUCAGAUGCCUUAAUACUGGCACGGUACUAAAAACCUGCAUGUUUAUAUGUACCGGUGGUACGGGCUGCGAGUGCAAACAGAGAUGCUAUACAAUUUUGUGUACAAUAUGCUCUGGCGAUAACAUAUAUGGUGGUACAAGCUAGUACUAAUAUCUGGGUGUCAGACAAUUAUGCUACGCGUCGCCAAAUUUGUACUGCAAGUGUAGACACCGACUGUCCCCACGAGAUCCAUACAGGGAUACAGAAUUGGAGAAAUCGCCAUCGCACUCGUGCAAUCCAACAACACCAACUUUGCAAGAAGACGACGGUAGGAUAGUCAUCAUAGGAUGCGACGAUCGCCUACCCCUUUUUGCGAGUAAAAGUUGGAAUCUAGCGAAUCCCCUAGCCUUUUCCUUUCAUUAUUCAGACAUCGUUUGGUUGGGAGACAGAGAGUAGGAGGAUUUUUUUUUUGUUGGGUAGAUUUAUAGGUAUAAAGUCUUGACAUGUCAUAGCAGAUAUUUGAAGCAUUAAACGUAGAGUAGUAACAAAACAAAUUACAAAUUUCGCCUGUAAAAUAUGAAACAAAUUUAUUAAGUCUAAUUAAUUCGUCAUUAGCAAAUGUUUCCUGUAGCAGCAAUCAUGGAGCAAUUAGGAUUAAAAUAUUCGUCUCGCAAUUUACGCGCAAUCUGUAUAAUUAGUUAUUUUUUUCGUUUAUAUUCAAUACUCCAUGCAUGUAUCCAAACAUUUGAUGUGACAGGGUAAAAAAUUUUGGCAGGGGAUCUUAGGCCCUGUUUAGUUCCUGCAACAAAAAUUUUCACCAUGUCACAUCGAAUAUUUGGACACAUGCAUGAAGUAUUAAAUGUAGACAAAAGAAAUCAAUUACGCAGUUCGUCAGGAAAUUACGAGACGAAUCUUUUAAGCCUAAUUGCGCUAUUAUUUGACAAUAUUGUGCUAGAGUAAAUAUUUGCUAAUGGCGGGUUAAUUAUACUUAAUAAAUUCGUCUCGCAGUUUCCUAGCGGAAUCUAUAAUUUGUUUUGUUAUUAGACAACGUUUAACACUUCAAAUAUGUGUCCAUAUAUCCGAUGUGAUAUCACAAAACAAAUUUUUUUGAAAACUAAACCGGGCCUAAGAGCAUCUCCAACAGCCUCUCCAAAUCGGACUCUCCAAACACCCAUAUAGCCAACUCUCCAUCUAAUUUAGCUAGUCAAACUAGAUGCUCACUCCAACAGACUCUCUAUUAAUCCUCUCCAAAAUAAAAUCGGACCCACAUGUCAGCCUCUCUCCCCUCUUCUUCCUCUCUCUCUCUCUCCCCAUUCUUUCUCUUCCCUUCUUUUCCCCUUUCCUUCCUUCCCGUCGACAAGGCUGUUGCCGACGGCGGCCGACGCAUGGCGCGCGGUGGUGCGGUGACACUGAGGCGGGAGGCGGCGCUGGCGCCAUGAGGCGUGAGGUGGCGCGGGGAGGUGGGAGGCGGCGUUGGCAAGCGACGGCGACAACGAUUUGGGGUGGCGGCGACGGAGCUCGGGGUGGGGAUGGCGAUGGCGGUGGCGGCUCGCGACGACGACCUCGACGAAGACGACGGCGCCCCCGACAACCUCAACGACAUAGUGGAUGGUGAUGGCAACCUCGACGACGACGGCAGCCGCAACGGAUGGAUGAGAUGGCGAUGGAGGUUAGGCGGCCGGCGCCGAAGAGCGGCCCAUUCUUCCCCAUCUUGGCUCCUCCCUCGUCGUCGUCGCCAGCGCACCCUCCCUCACGGUGGCGGCGGCGGAAAUCGUACGGCGGUGAUGGCGCAGGGCGACGACGGGUGGGAGAAGGCGAUGGCGCGGGGCGGUGACAGGCAAUGGCGCGACGAUGUGGUGGGAUGCGGCACUCGAUCUGUGCGGUGAGGGUGAGAGGGGAAAGCGACGUGGGACCCACGGUUGGCGAACGGCUUUGGCAAGGAGGCAGGGUGGCCAAGUUUGGCCAGUCCGGGAGCUAAUUUGGCCAGCCGGAUGAUUUGGCCAUCCGAUUAGCCAGGCUGUUGAAGUGUAUUUUUUCAUCAAACUUGCUAAAUUUUAACUUGAAGAGUUAUCUAGCAAGUCUCUUGGAGAUGCUCUAAACAGGUGAAAAAUUUUGCAAAAAAACACUGUAGAACAUCGUUUGGUUGGGAAGAGUGCAUCGUUUAUCACUUGGCUGCUAGCUGUCGUGUCCAUGAACGAUGGACGAUGAUGCCCGCGAGCAGAGGCAAAUCCUCGUACGUGAGGUGAUGGGUCGACGGCAAGGUUUGUGCAGCCCGGCCAGACGGUCAAAAAGUCGAGAGACGAUCGAGAACAGCACACUGAUGACUGAUGAGACUUCGAGAGGUGCCCCCCAGAGACAAAAUCCACUUUAAUUGAGUAUCAAGCUAAACCAACACAGUGUUUUCUGGUCAGUGGACUGCUGCAGUACACCGCCACAACUACCACCGGUAGCCGUAGCCUUGUUGCCGAGUGAAAACUCGGUGAGUACUGGAGAAUGUAAGCAGCUGUUGCAACAAAUGUGGAUCACCUCACCUCACCUGAUCGUUAAAUGCGGUUAGAAAUCCAAGAGUAUUAAAUAUGUGAUCCGAAUUUUAGGCCUACAAUAUAUUCGGAUUAGUUAUCUAAUAGUACUCUACUUUAUAGGAUUAGUUUCCUAUUAGGACUUCUAGAUUUCUCCUAUAUAUAUCCCUUGUAAGCCGCACAUGGAGGGUGCGAUAUCCCCUGCGUUUGUAUCCAAUUCCUCUAUAGUGAUCAUUGCCGGUCGGCGCCCAUGGUUUUUUCCCGUAAGGGUUUUCCACGUAAAAUUCGUGUCUCCGUUGUGCAUCUAUUUUCAUAAUAAGUGGUAUCAGAGUUAUGAAAAUCCGUUCCACAAUUCCCCCGUUGUCGUGUUCGUCGUCUAUGUUGAGUUCAUCGUUCCGGCGAUAUCGAUCUACCCCACGGUGUCGUGGUGACUGGUGAGUUUUCGUCCAGUUGAAUUGAUCUGUUGCUGAGAUCGAUCUUUUCUGCUGCCGCAUAGAUCUGUUGGCUCAUCAAGUCCGACGCGGAGUCGGUAUUUUUGUGCGAGGAGAAAAAGGCGAUGCAGCAGCCGUCGUCCACGUCUACGCAGCCGCACGCGUCGAGGAAGCAGCAGCCGGUGUCAUCCUCGAGCACACACAGGUGGAGAAAAAUCAGAAGCCACCGAGAGCCAUUGCUUCUGUUCUGUUCACGUGAAUUAAUUUUCACAUACGGUUGGAAAUUUGGGGGACACGGAGUUUACCAGGAAUUCAAGUUCUGUGCAUUGCUUGGUUCUGUCAAGGUGAAUCCAAAUUCACUUUCAAUUGCUACGUUCACAAGCCAGAUUUACCAGGAGUUUAGAUACAGAGAUCAAAAUACUUCGUUUGAUGCACCUAGAGUGUUUUGUGUUUCUGCUAAGGUUUCAUAAAUUAUACCAGCAGAUUCAGGAUUUUAUUCCUAAGACGAGUUUGAAGUUUAAUCUACCGCUCCUGGAUUGAGAUGCAAUAUUCUCGUUAUGGCAAGCGAAGAUACAAGUUGGCGUAGCCAUCGAGGAGGAGAAGCAAGUAUUGCUGUGCACCGGAGAGAAAAAAAAAAGGCAACACAUUCAAGUCGUCGAGAGGGAGCCUCGCUCCUGUCUAGAUCACAAGGUGAUCAAAUUGUCCGGCGAAUUUUGCUACCAUUGUAUCCAAUGUACCAGAAGGUUUAUCAAGGGAUCUAAGUACUUCGUUUUGAGCACAACAGUUUCGCGUUUCUGCUAGGAUUCCAGAAAUUAAUGCCAGUAGAUUCAGGAUUUUAUCCCAUGGCGAGUUUGAAGUUUGUGCAUCAGUUUCGCGUCUUUGCUGGGUUCCACAAUGUCAUGCCAGCAGAUUCAGGAUUUAUUCCCAAUGGCGAGUUUUAAGUAUGGUCUACCUCUUCUGGAUCAAGGGUGUUAUGGAUUAAUAGUCCAAGUGACUAUUUGGCGCACAUUGAUUUUAUCAUCACGAGGUUCUUUGGAGAUUAAAGAUUUAUUAUGCUACAAGGGAAAUUCGUAUCAAGGUGGAGAUUGUUAAAUAUGUGAUCUAAAUUUUGGUCCCACAGUAUAUUCGGAUUAGUUAUCUAAUAGGACUCUACUUUAUAGGAUUAGUUUCCUAUUAGGACUCCUAGAUUUCUCCUAUAUAUAUUCCUUGUAAGCCGCACAGGGAGGGUGCGACAGCCCAAUGUAUCCCUUCGUUUGUAUCCAAUUCCUCUAUAGUGAUUAUUGCCGGUCGGCGCCCGUGGUUUUUUUCCGUAAGUGUUUUCCACGUAAAAUUCGUGUCUCCGUUGUGCAUCUAUUUUCAUAAAAAAGGAGCAAAGCAAGGACGCUUCGGCCGUGUCACCGUGAGUUUGUGGUGUGACCAGCGUACGUACGCCCGCCCGGGGCUCGGCGAGUUGGCGUGGCGACCACAAUAAUUCCGCGGCCCCCAAACCCAUGUGCCGCGCCAACACCACGGAAAUCCUCAAAAUCCCACACACUUUCGCCGUCUCCACCCGCACCGCACCACCAUCGAUCGAGCAGCCGGCACACCGGGGGCCACGGAUGCCGCGCUACGCGGUUGGUCAAACGAUCGACGAGACGGGAACCCGCGUCGUAGCUAGGCCGGGGAUGGGCACGCGCGUCACGGGACGGGACGCGGCCGUGCGCGGCGUGCGUGCGACCUGUACGUACCACGGUUGGUGGUGCACUUGGGCGGCUGGAGCCACGCGCGCGCCCAUGAGAAUGAUGAGAUAAUGCCAGGUUGCCAGGGCCGGCGGUGAGUACAGCGGCGAAUGGCGAAGCACACAUCUGCAUUGGUGCAUGUGGGGUUUGAUGGUGGCACGGAUAGGUGAAGUAUAGGUUGAACGCGUGCAUUAGCGGUGGUACGUACGAGCGCCUGAGCUGUGUAGGACACACCGGUAGCUAGUAGUACUAAUGCAUGCCAUAGGCCACGAUCGGAUCGGAGUUUUUUCUUUUCAGCUGAGAAAAUCGAUCGAUUGUCAGUAAUCGUUUUUUUUUUUUGGAAAUCAUCCGUUCAAAAAGUGCGAACUUUCAUAUUGAUAUGGCAUAAAAAAUAUAAAAUAAUAGCCUUAGAAGACUAAAUCAAGGGGAAAAAACCAUGCUUUAUGCCUAGACUUAGAUCAUUCAUUGCUAUGGGUUAAAUAUGUGAUCUGAAUUUCAACUAAUAAUAUGUUCUGAUUAGUUUCCAAUUAAUUCGGAGUAAGGACUCUAUACUUUCUCCUUUAUAUGUUUUUGUAAGCUCACCCUCCCUCUCGGAUCUCUUGACCACCAUAUUAGUGUUAUCGGAUGUCGCGCCCGUCGUCGGCUCAAGCCACCACAUCGAGCCCAUUGUCGUUGCCGAGAUCCGCCAGCCACCAUACUGAGUUGGGCGGCCAGUAUGCCGUACCACCGUCACUGCUUUCAGAUACUAGUCUUUUUCGCGUCCACCGUCGCCUUCCUAGGACAGAUGCGGCCGUACCUAUGCCGCCUCGUCUCUAUCACCAGCCUUGGCACACUCAGGGGAUCUAGUAUCCUUCACUGGGGAGGCCAGAUCUCGAUGGGAGGGGAGUAGAUCUUGUAAGGGAGACGCCUGAUCUAGCGAUGCGAGCUAGCCUUCACGUGCUGCCUCCAUUUGCGCAUCGUCUCCGCGCCGAGUACCCAACUGUCACGUGUCGUCUCCACCUUGCUUCGCCUCCACGCCCUCUACCCCACCGUCACCGCCUCCUCCGCUAGCAUCCCGUCGUUUGUCAGCUGAGGAGCGGCUGGAUUUGGGCGACGCUGCCUCACGAGCCGUCUCGGUAUCCAACUUGAAACGAAGACUUCGGGAGAGAGAGAGCCCCGCUAUCGUUGACCUUGUAGCCUGCUAGCUUUGCCGGUAAGCUGCUCAGGCGGCAGGAGGAGGGAGGGUGUGACAGCGACAAAAGUUUCCGUCGUACAGAUCAUCUCUAGGGUGGGAAUGACGCUCGACAAAGUGAAGUAUACGUCGAAUGCCAGUUGUCACUUGUCACAAAGGGUGCCGUGAGCUUGUGAUUUGCCUCGAUCUCAUGUACUACUCCAUCCGUCACAUUUUAAGUACAGAUUUGAAUUUCCGUAUCCAACAUUUGAUCAUCUGCCUUAUUCGAAAAAUUUAUAAAAAAAAACAAGUCACGCAUAAAGUAUUAUUCAUGUUUUAUCAUAUAAGAACAAUAAAAAUACUAAUCAUAAAAAAAGUAAAUAAGACGGACGGUUAAACGUUGGACACGAAAACCCACUGCCGCACUUAAAAUGGGACUGAGGGAGUAGAAUAUUGGAUUUUCGACGAGGUGAUUGAAUUUAGGCCCUGUUUCUUUCAGCUUGGGAUUAUUAUAAUCCAGAUUAUUGGGAGUAAGCUGAAAGAAACAGAUAACUUAUUGAAGUAGCUUUUUAUAAUCUGGAGCACAGCUUAUUAUAAUCUGAUAAGCUCAUUUAGGUGAGCUUUUUCCAGAUUAUUGGGUGAAAAAUUACCCACCAUUGCCACCCCACUUCCUUUUUAGACUUGCAAACCCAAUAAUCUAGGCUCUAAUAAUGUAGGAAAGAAACAACUAACCGCUUAUUCUACUACAGAUUAUAACAAUCUAAUUUAUAGUAAUCUGACUCAAUAAUCUAGUUAUAAUAAUCUCAAGCCGAAAGAAACAGGACCUUAAUCAUUCGCUACACGUCUUUCUCUGUACUAACUUGUUGCUAACUCAUACUGUAUGUUGUACGCAGUAUUUACUCUCACAAUUGGGUCAAAUUUACGGCGCAUUUACGAAUUGACGGCAGUUAGGGGCUGAAUUUUUGUACCCAUUCUUCGACCGAAUUAGGGGGUACCUUCAGACCGAAUUAAAUCGCAGUUGUGGGCCGGAUUUAUGACCACAUUUGGGCCAAUUUUACGCACAAUCAGUCGGUGUUUACACAAUCUAAGAAUAACACUUUAGGUUCCUCUCUGCUGCCGACUCUAAAAUUCACCCUAAAUCUUAAUACCAGAUAUAAUCCUCAAAUCCCAAAAUCAGUACAAAUAAGGUCCCAAAGCAGUUUAGAUGAUGGUUUCGGCCUAUAUGGCACCCAAGUGGCAUUGACAAAGUCAGAAAAACCGUGAAACUCACAUGUUCAGUUAAAAAUAGGAAAAUACAAAGGACUAGGCCACGUCAUCAUUCCCUCUCUUUUCCCUCUUAUGUCCCUUCCUCUCUCUCUCCCUUUCCUCCUCGUCGUGGACAUUGUCAUCAGCGGCGGUGGUGGCUGAACCGGCGAGGUGGAGGUGUGCCCGGGAGGACCUCACAGUCACGUACAAAGAGACUGACGUCAUGGGCCCACCGGACCCCUCGUCUUCUCCGGCGCGCGGCAUGCAGCUCCGCCGAGCCUAGUCUCAGUUCCAGCUCCGCAUCCGCUCCUUCGCCGUCAGCCCGCGGCUCCAACAUCAUCAGGUACAACAGACUGGAGUCACACAACACUGGGAAACCAUGCGCCUUCCGUGGCAACUGAAGUGACGGGUGCUUCUGCUUCUACCGCAGCAGGUUGCUCCAGUGAAGUAUCCAGGAUUAAAAAUUAGAGUAAAUUUCACGGAACUGUAUGUUUUGUGGUAUAAAUUGCAGAAAACUACAUACACUUUGACACUUGGUACUUAAGUAUAUAUAUUUUGGUUGUGUAGUUUCACAAAACCACACUAUCGAUGAAUGGAUUCACUCACGAGAUGACGUGGCUGUUUCACCUAGGACGAGGUCAUGGCAUCCUAUUAUCAGCUAUCACACGAAAUUAAUAGGAUGCUACGUCCUCAUCCUAGAUGGAACAACCAUGUCAUCUCACGGGUGAAUCCAUUCAUCGAUAAUAUGGUUUUGUGAAAUUAAGCUACCAAAAUAUAUAUACUUAAGUGUCAAGUGUCAAAAUGUGUGUGGUUUUCUGCAACUUGAACCAUAAAACAUGUAGUUUUAUGAAAUUUACUCUUAAGGGUAGGCUUGAGCUAAAAGAACUAAGUUAAUUUAUGGGUUUGCAUUAAUUUCUUAAAAAGAAAACAAUAGAAACAAAACGCAACGUCUUUUUCAACACUAGGGUCUAAGGUGGUGUUUGGAUCAGGUACUUAACUUUAGUCUUUAUAUUUAGACACUAAUUUAGAUUAUUAAAUAUAGACUACUUACAAAACUAAUUACAUAAAUGAAAGCUAAUUUGCGAGACAAUUUUUUUAAGCCUAAUUAAUUCAUAAUUAGAGAAUGUUUACUGUAGCAUAACAUAGGCUAAUCAUGGAUUAAUUAGGCUCAAUAGAUUCGUCUCGCUAAUUAGUCCAAGAUUAUGGAUAGGUUUUAUUAAUAGUCUACGUUUAAUAUUUAUAAUUAGUAUCCAAAUAUCCGAUGUGACAGGGAUUUAAAAGUUUUUUAAUCCCAUCUAAACAAAUUCUAAGUCGUUCGCCUUCUCCAGCAACUCGAUCGGGCACAGCGACGUGAUCACACACUUGCACGCAACGCACACAGAAUCAAAAGCAAUACAGAAAUCAUGCAUGCAUGGCACCAUCUCCACUUGUCUUAGCUGCAAUCAAUGUACCAAAUUACUCCCUCCGUUUUAAAAUAUUUGACACCGUUGACUUUUUAGUAUGUGUUUGAUCAUUCGUCUUAUUCAGAAAAUUUAACUAAUUAUUUAUUCUUUUCAUAUCAUUUGAUUCAUCGUUAAAUAUACUUUCAUUUACACAUAUAGUUUUACAUAUUUCACAAUUUUUUUUAAUAAGAUGAACGGUCAAACAUGUGCUAAAAAGUCAACGGUGUCAAACAUUUUAAAACGGAGGGAGUAAUUCAGUAAUUCUGUACUGUUCAGUAUUCAUGAGUGUAAGAGGCUAAGAGUGAUCAGAGUUCAGAGAUAUGUCUCAAAAAAGAUUUUGUUGAUGGUAAGUAUUACUUUCUCCGUUUCACAAUAUAAGACUUUCUAGUAUUAUCCACAUUAAUAUUAAUAUAGAUGCUAACGAAUAUAUAUAUAUAUAUAUAUAUAUAUAUAUAUAUAUAUAUAUAUAUAUAUAUCUCUAAAUAGUAGUCUAAAUUAUCCACGAAUCUCAAUGACCAAGAAAAAAAAGAAUUGGUAAUUAGUGCGUAGAAUACCAGGAAUCCAAAAGAGAGAUUUUUUCUUUUCUGCCUUAUUCAUUCAAUUCAUUUCAAAUAAGACGUAUCUUGUUCAAGCCAAUAAAUAGAGCUAGGGUUAGAGUUAAAGCAGCCAAUAGAAAACCGAAAUAACUAGUUAUAGUAAGCAUGAAAGGGUUAAAUUCCAUUUUUUUUACUACACUACAUAUGUUGGUAAAGCACUUACCUAACUUAUGGAAAAUUCAUAAUUCAUCGGUUAUUUUAGAUAAUACUUAAAAAACAAGAUAGAGUAAGAUACAGAAGUGUAAAAGAAAAUGGAUUCAUCAGAUGGGGCAUGAGUCCCUAAUUCCGAAUCAAGAGAUUUGCUGUGUAAUCUGUCAAUUGAGUAAAGUAAUAAUAUUAAGAACUAGAUCAGCUAACCCCAGUGAAAAAUAAAGAAUUGAAUUUGAAAAAGUUCUUUCUAUUUUGGUCUUUUUAAAUAGGAUGAUUUAACCUUC
RNAcentral lists this long non-coding RNA (64872 nucleotides) under Oryza sativa (Asian cultivated rice). RNAcentral's name for it is "long non-coding RNA (OSAT_LNC001378)". The stretch from base 62976 to 63151 matches the Rfam family "MIR807 microRNA precursor family". The record is from RNAcentral. Lineage: Eukaryota; Viridiplantae; Streptophyta; Magnoliopsida; Poales; Poaceae.